RNAcentral lists this long non-coding RNA (63312 nucleotides) under Setaria viridis. RNAcentral's name for it is "long non-coding RNA (SVIR_LNC009630)". Lineage: Eukaryota; Viridiplantae; Streptophyta; Magnoliopsida; Poales; Poaceae. The record is from RNAcentral.
UUUUUUUUUCUGAUGUGAAGUUAAGGCGCUGGAGAUGUGGUUCAUUCCAGUAGUCCAGUAGAUUAAUCCUACCCUGUUAUUUUUCUUGGUUUCUGCUGGCAUAUUACAAUAGUUUUAUAGUAUCUACCAAAUGGCUCUCACUGCUGAGGUUUCUCGCCCGGCCGAAAUGGUUUUACCACCUCAACACAUAUAGAAAACACCUCGAAAAUUUCGAGACCUAGUUGAACAAUUUCCGAGAGCUAUCCUUAUCCAACAAUUUUUGAAAAUAUAGCAAGAAUCACUGUAAUGCGAGUGUUGUACACAUAUGUGAACGUCUGAAUCUAUUUGUGUCCUUCACAAAUUCUAAAGCAUAAUCCAACAAGGACGUACGCGAACCAGAAAGGAACAGAAAAGUAAUGAAAACAUUGAGAAUGUACCUUGUUGGCUGAGGGUUUAGUGAGGAAUGUUGCUAGCUUGGAGCAUCUAUUUAUGGACGGAACAAGCGAAGCUAGCUGCCUUGUCAAAUGGCUAGGCUUACUUGGCUCGUCAAGUACUGAUGCCCCACAUGUUGACACGUCAUGUCAGCAUUGACGAGCUGCGUAAUUUAAUAAAUGGAAAAAGCAUAACUAGUUUUAUAGGAGUUUUGUGUAAACUAAAUAUAGGGACACAUCAGGUAAUCUGAUGACGUGGUAGAAAAUUUAAGAGGAGGGACAAGGAGCCUCUUGACACAGAAAUCAUGUCUUGAAAUUAAAUGUUAAACUAUGAAACAGCAACACGAUGGUAUGCAUUGGAGGGGUAGAUUAAAACACAGUUUCAUUUUUCUCUUGGUGAUCGACGUAGCUAUCUUGGAAAUAUCAAAACGAAAUCCUCCACUGGAUUAGCUUAAUAAACAAAACUCCUGGAAUUGCCUGAACUGUACAGGGCAAGUCUCCCUGUCUCUUGGCCGUUUCGUCAGUCCGUUUUGAUGCAAUACAUGGUACUCGCUCAUGCCCUGCCGACGAGGUCAGUCAGAGGAAAGAGUAAUCCAAGUCUCCGCUGAAAGGCUAGCAAUGUCUCUUGUACCCAUGCUCGUUUGUCACGAUUCUAUAGCAGCCUGCCGGUGUCGCCAUUAGAAAGCAGAGUCCUUGUAAUGAAGCGACGACUUGUGUUGAACUUGGCCCGCCGAUUUGCUGGCAAAGGACUUGGUGCGAAGCACCUAACAAACAAUCGACCGCUGAACGGUCAAAGAAAAGAGAAAAUAUCAGCAAACAAACAAUUCAAAGAAAAAGCACGGCGCAGACGAAAGACAGUCACCGAUCGCCGAUUAGCACCACCACCGAGCAACAUACUCCCCGGUAACACAAUUGCCAUGGCAUCCUGCACCACCCAUCAUGGCUACGCCGCCCCGCUGCUGCCCUCACAACGGAGUGGGGACUAAGGGUGGUGAAGAAUGCACAAGCCAAAGCGCACCGGAAACAAUGACCUUCCUUGAAGCUGAUGGUGACACUGACAGCACAUCCGAGCUCCACAUUCCACCAUCCAACAAUGUCCAAGGGGAGGAAUCCUUGGAGGGGAAUGGCGGAAGGAGUGGAAACACUACCCAGCAAAUUGAUUUGCUGGCACCACCAACAAGAAGAACGCCGACGAAGUAGAGGUGCUGGAGGAGAAUACUCACCAAACCACGAUAGCAGCCAACAUCCAAUGCUAGCCUUAUCCAUGAAGAGUAGGAGGGAGAAGCCAUAGAGCAGGCAUGGGUGCACUGCUAGCAAAUAGGGACCUCAGUAGACGACGCCACAUGUAGGGCGGGACAUUAGAGAUGUCGUUGCUGCCGGUCUGGUAGCACGGGAGCAAGGUUUUCACCUUGGAGGCCCCCAAGGUAUAGAAAGGGGAGGAGCACGACGAUGCCUUCAGGAAGGUAAAUGGCACCAAGCAGCAUCAUCAUUGUUAGCCGGGCGAGCCGAGCAUGGCUUUCACCAAGGGCUCCCUCACCAAUCCCACACAUAGCGCCGGUGCUGAUGAACCCGUGGCUUCGUGUUGUGCCGGGGGGCUGUGGCCCAGCACCCGUGCCUACCUUGGAGCACACUGGCGCCACCAGCAAAAGGAGGGCACAGAGGGCAUGACCGUGACAUUCAGCAAGAAAUCCCUGUUCAAGUAUGUAAAUUGUCUUCACCUUGUUGGAAUAUUUAAUUCUUGUUAUGACCAAUUUCAUCCACAUGCUACCAAUCCAUCGAUGUCAAAUCUCUUCUCAUUUAGUAUAUAAGAAUUUGCAGACAAGGAAGAUACAGGCUCGAGUCAUCCGGUGCAGAACCAUCCAAGUAUAAAGGAUCAGCUAUUAGCCCUCCUGCAGCUGCUGCGUCAAGGCACAUCUUUACUCCUAGAAAACGUUGAGCCGAUUCAAAGGUUAUUCAGACAAAUCAGAACUCAUCUGACUAAUGAAUUAAUGGCAUCAUUAACUCCUACAGGCUUAAUUGAAUCCCACUAUUCCGAAGUCCAGAGAGCCAAAAAAAGCAUCGUCGAUAGAUGUCAGGCCAAUGCUCAAUUGGACACUGUCAAGUUGAAGGCUAAAGAGGUGAAACAAGAAAUUAAGAGCUUUGACGCCUCUCUCUCCUCAGAUGCACAUAUCCUACAGACCUUGGAGACCGAAAGAGACUAGCUGAUGCUUGAAUUAGAUCGAGUAAACAAAGCAAUUGCAAAAGCUCAAGGCUGGCUCAAUGAUUACCCCAUCGCUAUCCAGGAGAAGAAGAAAGAAUUGGCUGCCUCCAUCAACCAAGUGCGUCAUCAGCAUCGGCAAAUUAAUGAUAUCCCUGGCUCUGAUGAACAAGACAUGCAGUUGAUAGCCGAUGUUGACCAGAUCUGCCUGCGCGUGGUAGAGGCCAUUGAAAAGUUCUUGUAAAGAAUAAUGAAAUCUGCUUUAAUCUUCAUCCUUAACUUGUGCAUAAUUAUUUCACCCUUUGAAAGCAACCCUUCAAUGCCAUCUUUACUUUUCUUGAUCUAACACAAUGAAUCAUCUUUACCUCUCUAGGCCAGGCCAAACCAAACGUCAGAAGAAUACUAUUUCACCUGGCCAAAACUGAAAGAUUCCUGCCAUUAUAUCACGAGCCCACCGUACUGCCUUGGCUACACUCCGACAAUCUUGAUAUAAAUAGACCACCUGUGUUGGCACUUUUCACCAUCAAAAAACAAUGGCUCAAAGAAUAGGACCCGUAGGCUGGAAACUCAUAGUAUUUGAAGCUCAUAGAAGACCCAUGACCACUAGAUGCUAGAAGAAUUCUUGUGAACUAGACUAGGAUGCUCCUUCCCUUCGCAAUCUCUUUUGUGAAGCUAGGAGGUCACGAUGCAUGAAGAAUCCUCAUGACGUACGUCCAUUACCAUCUUGAGUGAGCUUCUCGAACAUGCCAGAAUAGAAGGACUCCACCCCUCAUCAAACUUGCACUUCCUCUUGUAUUUUCUUUGCAUUUUUUGUUCUAAAGGUGAUAUCCCAAGAUAUCGGCUAUCUAAAGACGAUAAAUAUAAUCAUCAGCUUUUGUAAAAAAGUUCGCACGACAAAGCUUAUUGAUAUACUUUUAUUGGCAAUACUCUUUACUAUAGUGAGAACAUAUUUUUUAUAUUUUUUGUGCUAAAGGUGAUAUCAACAGAUAUCGGCUAUCUAAUACGAUAAGUUGCUCAUCAACUUUUACAUAUUGUCGGCUUUGACUCAUUACCCAUGAAUAUUACAAUUUAACAAGUCAGCCUACAGACAUGUUUUUAUUUACUCUUCCUCGCCAUCUGCUUGACCUGUUUGGAACAAGAAACUUGCAGCAUCCAUGAAUUCAUCCGCUUUCCCAAACUUUUCCAGACAAGUAGCGCACCUUGUCACACUUCCAGAAAGGAACAUCAGCUACAGCGAUGGUAGCAGUUUCAUCUGCCGGCAUGAUUUCCACCAUAUCUCCAUCCCAUUGAAUUAACAAUUGAUGCAUUGUGGACGGAAUACAACAAUUUGCAUGCAUUCAGUCUCGACCCAAGAGAAGAUUGUAUGAACAUUUACCAUCGACGAUGAAAAAGGUAGUAAGCAAAGUUUUGCUACCAAUCAUCAAUUCGACGUUCAAGACCCUUUCAACUUUUGACCACUUCCCCUCAAAGUCUUUCUGGACCCUGUUAGUCUUCAUCAAAUCUUUUGGAGUCUUUCCAAGCUUGCAGUAAGUAGCGCAUGACAUAAUGUUGACAGCAGAACCACCAUCAACCAACAUCUUGGACAAUGGCCGACCAUCAACAUGUCCCUUCAUGUAUAAAGGUUUCAAGUGUCGAUGCUUUUCCACCUCUGGUUUCUCAAAUAAAGCUUGCUGAGCUAGUAGGACCAAUUGAGCAACCUCCUCUUCAUCGCUAUGACAUAUCCCAAACUCAGCAGGCAAAAUAAAAACCAUAUCAAUUUCAGUCGAUGCCUCUUUGCCUUUGUCUGAUUGCUUGAUGCGCCACUCCAAGUGUUGUUCCUUAUAUCGCAAGCGUUGAACCCUUCUUAUCUGAGUCUUGGUCAAUCCUUCUAGGCACCAACGCUAUCCAGGAAUUAGCUUCUCUUGACGUCUGAUACGUUUCUCCUUGGAUUCAUCAAUGAAAAUAGACUUACACCUUGGAGGAUAGUUCAAUCUUUCAUGCACAGAUCAGACUUCUUCGUGCUCAUUAGAAUCCUCGACUACCUGACGAUGUCCUGCUGAUUGAUAUUCCAACCGCUCAUGCACCGAUCAGCACUGUCUCUUGGAUUCACGAUAACCUUGGUAUUGCGAACUACACUCAACGUAAUCAACAGCCGAUGGCAACCUCAGCUUCUCAUUCCAACAGUACUGGAAGAAAGGAUAGUUCUAAUGUGACUCAAACUUGCUUCUGUUGUCUUCCUCCCAGUCUUCAUGAGCUUCCCGUCUACGCUGGUAUUUGUUGAUCAGCAUCUUAGAAGUCACAUUUAGUUUUCUAGCAGAUCAGCUGGCUUCAGCUUCCUCAACUUGUUGAGCCUAGCUCACUUUCUUCUUGAAUUCCUCAGCCAAUACUUGCACCCUUGGAUCCACUAUGCCAGAUUCCUUUGCCCUCCUCGAUGUGAGCAGGAUUGACUGGAGUCUUUAUUCAUCUUUCUUAUCAAUUAGCACAACCUCCACCAUGUUAACAGCUCGGAACGGAUGCUUGUCAACCUUCAUCAGCUUCUUUGAGUCAUCAACUUUAAGCCUUCCUUGCUCUAUAGCCAUUUGAAUCUGUUGACGGAAAGUCUUGUAGUCAUUAGUAUGAUGCGUAAUAGAGUUGUGCAACUUGCAAUACUUCCUCUUUUUGAGCUCCACAGCCGAUGGUAUCUUGUGACCCGGAGGUAACUUGAUCUGACCUUCUUGUAAAAGUAGGUCAAAGAUCUUAUCAGCUUUGGUGAUGUUGAAGUCAUAUGUUUCUGUAUUAGUUUUGAUCCAUGGGAAUGAGAUCGGCAUCUUUCUCUUAACCCACUCUACGACACUGACUUCUCCAUCUGCAUUUCAAUCUUCAUCAGAUGAAUCAUAUGCAUUAAAAUUGGAGAGCCCAUACUUAUUCCUGCGUGAACUCUGGAAUCGGCUCUCAUGAACCGAAACCUUAUGCACCAGAUGUGCUAGAUUGUCAAAGUCAUGUGGAGCAAACUUUUCCUUAGUAGAGUCUAGCAGCCCUUGAUAAGCCAAUUCCACUAGCUAUCCAUCAGUUAGGUACAUGUUAUAGCAUUUGUUGCGCACUUCUCUAAACCUUUGGACAAAUGCAGCCAUUGGCUAUCCGUUUCUUUGCUUCAUGAUUGUGAGAUCUAUCAUCUUCAUCUCUUGGGCUUCUACAAAGUAAUUCUUGUGGAACAAUAUUUCCAAAUCUUCCCAACUGUUGAUGGAAUUAGGGCCAAUGUAGAAAACCAUGUGAAGACAGGUCCUGUUAGUGACAACGGAAACAUGCGCACCUUGAGUGCAUCUAUUGAAGCUGCUUCUCCAUACUAAACUAAGAAUCGGCUAGCGUGCCCCCUGGUAGACAUGUUAUCUUCUCCAGAGAAUUUAGCAAAGUCAGGGAUACGAUACCGAUGCGACAUCGCCACUUGAUCAAACCAACCAGGAUAUGGGUGCUGGUACAUGUAGGCCUGCUGCCUUGGUUUCAAGCCAAACUGAUUCUUUAACAGCUCAGCAAUCUUUGCGGCCCAACCUUCACUGCUUUUUCCCAUUCCCAUCUUGUGAGUGUGGAGAAACCAGCACAAAUCCAUCCGCAACUUGAGUUGAUCGAGUAUCAGACACCCCAUUUCCUCCACAUGUGAAAUCCGGUUGCCCUGAUGGCUGCGGGUUAGCAGUCCUUAUAGGAAUUAACCCUAAUGCUUGCCUAGGCUGGCCAUCAACUAGGCCGACCAUCAGCUGUCCCGUUGGCUAUCUGGAAGAUGAGUCACCUCCGAACUAGAUGUGUUAAUGCAAAUCUUUUCCAGGACUGCUUGCUGACAUAAUGAUCUGGAACUUGUAUGAUCAUCCUCUGAAUCUCAUGAGCCAAUACUCCAGUUGGACUGAUCAAAGCACACAUAGCUUUACGAGGGCCAAUCGUAUAUUCUCUGGUAGAAUACCCCUCUGUGCAACUGGAAGCAACUGGGUCAUCAACAUGUGGUAGUCAUGGGCCUUUAGAUUUGUGAACUUCUUUUCUUCCAUAUUUAUUAUUCCCUUUAUAUUCGAGGAGUACCCAAACAAAACCUUGAUACUACUCAUGCAGUCAAACAUGCAAUCCUUCCCUUCCUUGCUGAGAGUGUAACUGGUAGGACGUAAUAGUGUUGUCCUUUAUCUUUCUUUUUUGGAUGUAGGUCAUCUACUUGCUUCUUACAUUUUAGGUCCUAUCGUGCUUCCAACAUAUCUUUUUGAGUUCCCAUAACAACCCAGGAAGCCUAGCACAUUCAUGCAAAGAUUCUUCAUCAGGUGCAUCAUGUCUAUUGCGUUGCGAACCUCUAGAAUUUCCGAAUAAGGUAGCUCCCAAAAUAUAUACUUCUUCUUCCACAUGGGUGCACGUCCGUUAUCGUUGUUCGGAAUAGGUUCGCUACGGAGACCCUUUCCAAAGACUACACUUACAUCCUUUAUCAUCUCAAAUACACGCUUUCCAUUAUGGUGUGUAGGUUUUAUAUGAUGAUAUGGCGCCCUUUUGAAAUGCAUCCCUUUCUUUCUUAACGGGUGGUUAGCAGACCCAUGUACAUGACCUUCCUACAAUGUUUCAAAUACAUGUUGUCUGUGGCAUCUAAACAGUGGAUGCAUGCCUGAUAUCUCUUAUUUGUCUAUCCUGAAAGGUUACUCACUGCAGGCCAAUCAUUGAUGGUUAUGAACAACAAUGCUCGUAGGUCAAAGCUCUCUUGUUUAUCCUCAUCCCACACACAUACACCUUCUUCCUUCUAGAACAGUAAAAGUUCAUCAACCAACGGUCUUAGGUACAUGACAUUGUCGUUGCCGGAUUGUUUUGGGCCUUGGAUAAGCACCGGCAUCAUAAUGAACUUCCACUUCAUGCAAAGCCAAGGAGGAAGGUUGAACAUACAUAGGGUCACAGGCCAAGUACUAUGACCACUACUCAACUCACCGAAUGGAUUGAAUCCAUCAGUACUUAAACCAAACCUUAUCUUCCUUGCAUCACUUUCAAUGUCCGGGAAUGCUCUAUCAUUUGAUCUCCACUGGGUCCCGUUAGCGGGGUGUCUUAGCAUGUCAUCUUGCUUACGUUUUUCUUUAUGCCAUCGCAUCAACUUAGCAUUCGCCUUGUUUCUGAACAAACGCUUCAAACGUGGUAUUAUAGGAAAAUACCAUAUCACCUUCGCUGGAACUCUCUUCUUGGGAGGCUGCCCCUCAACAUCACCAGGAUUAUUUCUCUUGAUCUUAUACCGCAGCGCUCCACACACAUGACAAACAUCCAAUUUCUCUUAUUCAUCACCACGAUAGAGGAUACAGUUAUUAGGGCAUGUGUGUAUCUUCUAAACCUCCAAUCCCAGAGGGCAAACAACCUAUUUAGCUUCAUAUGUUAAGGACAACAAUUCAUUAUUCUUGGGAAGUAUGUUCUUUACAAUUUUCAGUAUCCCCUGAAAUGCCUUAUCGAACAUACCAUGUUUUGCAUUCCAUUACAGUAUUUCCAGUGUGACACCUAGCUUCUUAUGCCCCUGCUUGCAACUUGGGUACAACAAUUUUUUAUGAUCAUCUAUCAUACGUUGCAACUUUUCUAAUUCCUUCUCAGUUUUGCAGUCUUUCAGUACAUCCCGUAGCACCUGACCAAGAUCAUCAAUAGGGCCGUCUUCUGCAAGCUCUUCUUCAUCAGCCUCGCCAUUGUAGUAUUUGCAAAAGAUUGGCUUGCAGCCUAGUCCAAAAUGUUGUCAUCAUCCUCCUCUUCUUCGGUGUCUUCCAUUGUAACCCCUCUUUCGUCAUGCUUGGUCCAAAUCAAAUAGUUAGGCAUGAAAUUGUAUCUAAAUAAGUGGCUGUGAAGAGUCUCCCAAGAAGAAUAGUCCUUCUUGUUACUGCAUUUGAAGCAUGCACAACAUAUGAAUCCAUUCUUCAGCUUGUUGGCUUUAACCACUUCGAGAAAAUAAUGUAAGCCAUCAACGAACUCCUUGGUCUGUCUAUCCGUGUUGUACAUCCAUUGCUGGUCCAUCUGCAUCGUAUUACGUGAGAAAUGGACAUAGGUCUUCGUAUUAGAUAAAUAACUUGAUCAAUAUUGAUAAUUUACACCAAUCAACCUUCAUAAAGAUAAAAACAAUUCACAUGAAAAUUACACCAAUCAACGUUCAUAUCAUUCACUAGGUCGACAAAAAGAAAAUUGCUAGAAUUCUGGAACAAUACAAUAAAGAUAUAUAUACACUAAAUAUUACAUAUGCUCCAUUGUGGACUUCACGUAGUCAAUAAUCCUAAAAUAAUGGUACAACAUAGUAGAAUGUUUGCCCUCCAAGUCAUCUCUGCACAUGACUCAAUCUUCUCCGAAGUCUAUGGAGAGUCACAUCCGCUCCAGUACCAGAAAAUAAUGGUAGAAUAGAAGAUCUUCAAGUCCACAUACUCUGGCUAAAUAUCAUAAAAGAAUCUUGAAAUAAUUGCCCAAACGUCUUUUGGAGCAAGUGCCACAUUUUCAUAAUAGAAGUAUGGUGGCACCAUAGUCUGUCCUGUUCAUUGAACAUGGUCCAUUUUGGCAAGCCAAAACCAACCAAAAACUGAUGGUUCAAUGUCAGUGAACAAAUCUCUGCCUGAAGAGACUAUUGGGGCCCCAUACUUCUAUUAUAAAAAUGUGGCUCCAAAAGACGUUUGGAAAGAUUCUUUUAUCAUAUUCAGCUAAUGUUUCUGGACUCGAAGUUCUUUUGUUCUACCAUUAUUUUAGGAUUCUUGACUCCAUGAAGUCCACUAUGGAGAGUAUGUAGUCUUUAGUGUAUCUUUGUUGUUCUGUUCCACGGUUCUACCAAUAAGUUGACCGGUGUAAUUUUCAUGCAUGCAAACUAUCCAAAAAAUUGUAGCAAUGACCAAAUUCUAUUUCUUGCACCUACAAUUUAUUUACCUCUAUUAUAUUGCAAUGACUAAAUAUUAAAAACACAUUUACUCUAUUUUUUCCCAUACCUAAUAUUGAUCAAGAUAUUUAUCUAAUACGAAUCAUAUAUAACAAGCAAGCUAUCAGUCAAAUUCUACCUAAAAAACAUCUAUAAAUAAAAAAUCCUCUCCAUUCUCCCUCGUUCUAAAAAACUCAUUUUUCUCUAUCUCUAAAGCAUAAAACAAAGCAUAGUAACAAUAAAUGAAGGGAGGAUAAAGUAGUUAACCUUUACAACACUUUGGAUGAGUGAAAUCCCCAAGAAAUUGAGGGGAAAAAAUUGGGUAGCACCUCCCUAAGCUUGUUUGGUCACCACGGAGAAGGAGUCCGAAGCUCUCAGUCUGAGUGUCUUGGGCUCGGGGAGGAAGAAGCUGACUUUUAUAGGCGAGGCAUUUCCAACCGGGACUAAAUGGGUGGCCUUUAGUCCCGGUUGGUGUUACCAACCAGACUAAAUGUCCCACCAAAAUCCAUCAUGUUUACUAGCCGUUACAACCGGGAUUAAAUGGGGUUCUUCAGUCCUGAUUAAUAUUACUAGCCGGGGACUAAAGCUCCUAUCGUCGGUGGUGGCCAUUUGACCACGGACUAAAGCUCCUUUAGUACCAAGUCCAAAAAGCGUCGAGACAUAUUAUGCUGGAUGGAAGGUCUAUUCUCCACUAGUGUCUCUAUCUGGAAUAGUGCAAAUGGAUGCUGAAAUCAUAUAUCAUUAAAACUAGAACAUAGUGAUACGAUCAGCAUUUAAGUUAGGUUAGAUCAGGUUAGGUUAGAUCAGAGCAGAUGUUGCAGUAAUACACCCACGCCACAUCUGCUGGUUCAGGCAUGGCCACUUAUAAAGGGCUCAUUGCCCUGCUUCCUGUCCUUCCUCCAGUACCCAAACAAUUAUUUUAGCUAGCUUUCUUGGUUUCCUGAAUUCAUACAAGCUCGAAUCCACUCAACCAUCUAGAAUAGACUACUAGAGGUAAGAGAGCUGGACCGAACUUUGCAUGAGCUGCGAUUUGAUGCAGUAUGUGGUAUGCGUCGGGAAUAGAAGGUGUGUGGAACCAUGUCAUCUGCCUAGUUUUCCUGCUGAAUUUGUGCUCUGCUGUGACUUCCAUAGUUCCAUGCACAAUUUGCCCUACACAGUUCAUCAUCUUAGUCAGCUAUUUAUGCACCAACAGCCUGGGCGAGGGAGUCUGUUUUUAGCUAGAGCCUAGAAUAUACAAUGAUAUCCUUGUGGAAGCAGGGAUUAUGCAUCCACAUCGCAUAUAUUACCCCAAAUUAGUCUACAAUUUAUUUAUCGAUCAAGGGAGAAAUGCGUGCGGGAUAUUUUCCAAUCUGUUUUAUAUUUUCCUCUGAAUUAAGUAUCCACCAAGCGUGUAGUAUGAGAGCAGGUAGGACCUGAAUUUCAUGGCACACUAUUUAUGGAACAGUUCUACAUUUGUCUUAUGAAACCGAUUUUCUCAUACAUUUCAUGAUCUGCAACGUCUGUGUAGCAGUUCAGCAAGAAAACUCCACUCCAGUGAUCAGCCUUUCCUCCCUAUGCCUCUAUAUUUAUCUCAGUUCGGACACCGAAGUGACCGUUGAAAAGCAUUUAUGUUGAGAUCCAUAAGAUACAAUUACCUACAGCCCGUAAUAUCAAUAAAUGUACAGCAAGUAUAACGGUAACCCACCAAUCUCUCUCUGCCAACCAGGACCUUUUUAUUAGAAAAAACAAUAAUGUUUCUACUUAUGAUAUCUCUAUAUAUCACCAAAAUGAUGCAUGUGGCUGCGCAUUGUAUUUUGUCGACCUCCUCCCAUUCCUUCUUAAUCUUAAAAAAACCUUGGCCUGGAUAAAAGCCAAACGCCCUACACAUAUAUAUGAAUGAAUUCAGCAGAGAAGACAUAGCAUGGCAAUAAAAUAUUACCUGUUGGAGUCCGAAGUAUUAUGUAAUUGUAAGGCUAAUUCCAGUGGGGGUUUCAUAGAGGUUCCAUGCAUAUUAAAUACGGUGACACAUCAGCAUAUGUGAUGACAUGGCAUGGUAGUUAUGAAGUGAGAGAGGGAAGGAGUUUCAUCAGGAUGAAACUGUGUAUACACUGUUUCCAAGACUAUGAAACCUAUUGAAACUUACAUUGGGGGUUAUAGAGUUUCAUUUCAUCUAACCAUAUCCAAUCACAUACCUCACAAUUGGCAUCCUAUGAAAUCGUGAAAUGAAACUGUGCACUGGGACUCCCCGUUUCAUUCAUGAGAAUACACCUCAUGGGAUGAUGUGGCAUCUUUGAAAACAGUGCAAUGAAACCUUGCACUGGGACUAGCCUAAUGCAUUAGGAAUAGGAAGCAUAGGGAAACACAUCACUUCAGAUGUGUAACCAAAAUGGACACAGCCAUGAUAGAACCCACGACCACCCACUAGACGGAUCCGGCAUAACAGUCCGUAUGCAUCCAACAAGUAGCUUCUGUCUUAGGGAAUAGAGGCUGGGCCCGGAGCGUGUUGAUAUUCUCGAGCUCCAGAUCGAUGUUCAGCUGUAUUAAUUUGUCAUGUGUCUUCAUCUCAAAGACAACGACAAGAUGCCCAAGGCGACAAGUUGACUUAUUUCGCAACUGUUGUUCGCACAAGUUGCUGGCCAUGUUGUAGGUAUGCAACUAGCCUUCUUGGUCUUCUUUGUUCAUAGAAACGGCUAGAGAAUUGAAUCCCCUAAACCAACUAGAAUAGACUAUGGGAGCAAUAAGGGUGGACCGACCUUGCAUGCGCUUGGUCUUGGAGGCUUGUGCGACAACAUCUUCGGUCCUUCGGGUUGUCUCAUCAGGACCACUUCAGCACAAUACUUGUCUACGGAUGUGGAAAAAGGUUUCCUUCAAAGAGUUGUGCAAAUAUUUAGUUUCUUCUUUUAUUUUUUGUCCACCGGUGAUGAAAUUUCCUGUUUAUAAAGUCUUUUGAUGGCUUUCCUUUAACCUGUGACAUAGUCGGAAGAUUGAGCCAAAGCUUUAGCCAAACAAUGAGGAUGAAGUAAUGAUUUAGUUCUUCGUCCAAAAUUAUUUCUCUGAAUUGUUCGCAAGACUCGUCAAAGGUGCAGAGUUUUUUUCUGAUAAUUAGUUGGUCUGAAGAAGGGAUUGCUUAACUUAUUUGGAUUUUGUGGGUUAUUAUAUCGAACUAUCAGAGCCAACACAUAUUUCACCUCAUGUGUUUCUUUAAUUGCUUUGGAACAAGACUUAUUUUGGAUGGACCCAGCACACGUGUCACGUAAGUUGCUGCGAGAAGUAACUAUAUGUCAGCUUAUCAGAGAAAUCGUAAAAUCAAAACGAAGUAGCAUAGUAUAUAUAGAUGAAGCUAAAAUAAUAGAAAAAAUAUCUAGUAAAUAAGAAGAAAUAGGAAACAAAAUUUGAACAUAAGAAGACUCGAAAAAGGGCAGCGGUUCCCAUGCAAUUCCCUGCAGGAUUUAUAUAACAAGUUGCCUCACCUUAUAAUGAAAUCACAGUAAGAUGCAGGUGGGUAUACAGAAAGCUGUAUUCCAGUGAGAAUGGCCUCGUGCGAAGAAGAUAAGAAGGUGCAGCUUCAAAAACACUUGGGUGGUGGAUGCUGUGGGGAUGAGCACAUGAGGGCAAAAUUAACUAUACCUUGUCUACUACUAGUACUCGCUGCUGAACAAGCUGUUGCAGUUGUGAGAAUAUGAAUAUAUUAUGAAUAUGAAAUUCAUCAGCCUCAUUGGUGAUUUAUAUAGAGUAUACAGUGGCCUGGGUCUAAUAAAAUCUUUUAGAUAGAGAUCAACUACUAAUCCUGCCCUAUACGACGACUAGAUCAUAGAGUGAGCUAAGCACACACAAUGACUGGAGUCGAAACUGAUGAGUUUUCUUGGGUAGAUGGUAUAUCCCUUUUUCAGACAAUGUAGUCGAGUGUGGUGCAUCGUAUGCAUCGCAGUGGAUGAGGUAGUUAGUGACCCAUGGCACCAGCAAAGCACAUGUAUGCACAAAAUUAGUUCCAUCCAGAAUAACUUAUGGGGCGAGCUUAUGUGCACCAUUUCAAAAUGUCUCUGGUCUAACUCUCUUUUCAGAUACAGGACACUUAAAUGACGAGAUCUUAUAUCAUUAACACUAGCAUGUAGUGAGACGAUCAGCCAUGAACUUAGAGUAGAUAGGAUCAGAACAAAUAAUGAAGUACUGAACCCAUGCGGAUCCCCUGGUCGAAGGCAUGACCCCUCAUAAAGAGCACAUUGCCCUGCUUCCUUUCCUACCUCAUGUACUCAAAACAAUUGUUGCUGCUGGCCUUCUUGGGUCUCCCUAAUACAUACAAGCUACUAAAUCCACUCGAAUAGAUUAUGGGAGAAAGAGGUCUUUUCCGAGCAUUGGAUGAGCUGCACUUUGAAGCAAUAUGAAGCAUAAGCUACGAAUAGGAGGAAUCUGGAACAGUGUCACUUCACCACACGUGUCUAGUCGUGAGUCGUCAAGCAGCCGCUGUGGUUUAAUUUCUAUCGAUCUAAUCGGUGCCCUCUCUACAUUGGUGUGUGCUUGCUCCAAUACAUCUUAUCUCCACUAUAGUACAUAGGCAUUUGUUUGGAUUGUUGAUAUAGACUACGUACGUGUUGCAGGUUGGUGAAGUAUGUUGGACGAAUGCAUGCAGAGCAUAGUGCCACUGCCACACGAGACUGCCAGGUUUUGCGUCAAAUCUGGUCAUGACCUGGCUGGUGGCUGCCUAAUGUGAAACGUCUCCUAUUUGCACCAUAAUCUAAGUAUAGUCAUCCCUAGCCAUGGUUGAGUAGAAUCUAAUAAUACAAUUGGUGUGGAUGGAGAAAUAGCUCAAGACUGUUCUGUUCUCUACAUAGCUUCUCCAAAUUGUGACACUCUCUCCGUAACGCGUAUAUGGCCAUGCAAUUCCACUUCAUCCAUUUGAUGCAACUUUUCGCCUACCUACAAUCCUUGAUCGUUGGCCCUCAUGAUUCCUUGAUUCCUUAUCAAUAACCUUUCAUUCAGCAAUUUUAGGGAUUUUCCCCUGAUCUGAAAGAGUACAUGGUGGCGAUUGCCACUGCUUUGAUGUGUAAUUAAAUUCGUGUCUUGUGUUUUUGAUGCAUAUUGUGCAGGCUGUUUUAUUUUUGCUAAAGCAAAGAACGAUGACUUGUAGCAGGAUUGAUCAACGCAUGCGUAUAUCAUAAGAACCCACUUGUGCUAUAUGUUUCAUUCCGAAACAUUAAUUGAAAUAGAUUUUACUCUCUCCAAAUUUCAGCACAUUUUCCAAACAGUAGCAUUUCAUCACAGAUUGCAUAUUUAAUAUAAAUUCCAAUUAUAAUCAUAUUUACAUCACAUUUUUUUUAUGAAACAGGAGGGUUUUACCCCUGCUAGUUAUAUAUAUAAAAAGAGAGGACAAAUACAAGGCAGUUUGAAAUUAAGAAACAAAAAAGGUUAAAAAGAAAAUCAUGAAGAUUACAACAUCUGCUCUAGCCAUUCAACCAUUGGUUGUUUCCAGACCUCUUUUACUCUAUGCAAAACUAAAGAAUAAAUUGUCUUGAAGCGAGCGAUGGUCCCUUGAGUUGUCGGUGGUAUGUCUCGGAAGAUUGAAUCAUUUCGUGCCAUCCAGAUUCACCAGCUCAUAAUGAUGAUAAUUUCCAUGAAGAAGGGUACCUGAAGCUGAGUUUUGAAAGUACUCAUAAUGGAAAAAGGAUCCAGUUGCAAAUCUGCAAAAAGGCCUAAAUGGAUCCAACAUGCACAAACGGGCAUUCCAACAGAAGAUGAAAGAGUGUCUCAAUUUUGUUGUGGUGGCAAAGAACACAGUUAUAUGAAGGUGGGUUCAUAUGCUUUCGACGCAUGAUGUCUCUUGUACUAAGUCUGUCCUUCAAAACCAGCCAAAAGAAAACUCUAUGCUUAUUCUGACAUCUCGACUUCCAUAGCCAAUCAUAUACUGGAUGAAGGUCUCUAUGUCCAAUGAGGGACUUAUAUGCCUUUGAUGAAGAGAAGUUUGCAUUACCCUAAAUAUAUACCCAAUAGUCUGGAUCAGAUGAAAAUUCCAAUCUUUCAAGUUCUUCAGCAAGAUGGAUCAAUUGAUUGUACGCUUGUGCAGGCAAAGGCAAAUAAAAGAGUUGCUAUAAAUCUGUGAUCAAAUAUGCCCGCUGCAAAGAUAAAUUCUUAUCCCGAACAAAGGAAAAGAGAUGCGGGUAUACUUGCGCUGGCACCUGAUUAUUCCAUAAAUCAUGCCAUAAGAAGCAAGUACUGCCAUCUUUCACUGUUACUGAAGCUAUUCCUUUGAACUUAUCUAACAAUUUGAUGAUGUCCUUCCACCAGAAGGAUCCUUUAGUCACUGUGCCUGGCAGUUUACAAUUGCCAUAGUAUUUUUCCCAUAUAAGAUGAACCCACGGAAUGUCUGCUCUAUUAUAAAAUUUAUGUAAGAAUUUAAGUAACAAAGCUUCAUUUUGCGUCUGCAAAUUGAGAACACCUAGUCCACCUUCCUUCUUUGGCAAAAUCACCAUGUCCCAUGCUGCUUUAGGUGGUUUUUUGUUAUUGAUGUCUGAUCCUCUCCAAAAGCAGUGUUUUCUGUAUUUGUCCGCUUGUUUAUAUACUGAUUUAGGUAGCAGAAAGGUACUCAUAUGAAACAUUGGCAGAGCAGUAAAUAUAGAGUUUGUCAACUGUAAUCUCCCUACUUCAGAUAGGAGAUUUGAGGUGGACAGUAGUCUUCUUUCGCACCUAGUCACCAUAGGGAGAAAUUCCUCAAUUCUUGGUUUAGUCAAUCCAAGGGGUAGUCCCAAGUAUGCGAAGGGCAGUUUUCCUACUGAACAAUCAAAUGUCUGUGCUAGCUGUUAUAUCCUUUCCUCUGAGAUGUUAAUGGGCACCAUCAUGGAUUUGUUAAAAUUUACUUUCAGCCCAGUUGAGGGGCACCAUCAUGGAUUUGUUAAAAUUUACUUUCAGCCCAGUUGAGUUGGCAAAAGACUGCAGAAGGUUUUUGAGGUAAAGCAGUUGUAAUGGGCAUCCCUCCAUAAUAAUGAGUGUAUCAUCAGCAUAUUGCACUAUUGGAAAGUCCUGAUUGUAAUUAACUGGAAUUGGCAGUUGCAAAUGACCCUGCUCCUUUGCAUUGUUCAGUGUUGACUGAAGUAAAUCAGCUCCAAGGACAAAGAGAAGGGGGGAGAGAGGAUCUCCCUGUCUAACUCCCCUUUUACAAAUGAAUCUUUUUCCUGGAACUCCAUUCAUUAAGAUAGAAGAAGUUCCUAAACUAAAAAAUUGUUUCAUCCAUUUGAUCCAUUUACAUCACAUGUCUAUCUUGUAAUGCAUCAAUGUUUUAUGGAGCCAAUAAAUCGAAACAUGCCAUACCUGAGAGUGUGCGCUGAAAAACAUGUAUAUUGAGAUCCUUGGUACAAUGUACAAGGACGACUGAUGCAGAGCACGAGUGCGACAGUGUGCACAUAUGUCACAUAAUAUCCCCAGCCCAUUUAUCUUUGUCAUUAUAGUGCAAAUGAAUUUGGAGAUCUUAUAUCAUUAAAACAAGAAGAUAGAGAUACCGUCAUAUAAAGGGCACCGUUCUUUGCUUCCUAUCCUACAUGUACCUCGAGUACCCAAAAAACUGCGGUAGUCAACCUUUUUGGUCUAGACAUGAUGCAAAUAGAAGCUAGAAACUCCAAAACCAUCUGGAAUAGGACGCAGGCCGGAGAAAAAGAGCCUAUGUGUUCGAGGAAAAAAAAGGAGAAACAGAGCUGGACCGAACUUUCAUGAGCUGCAAUUUUACACAAUAUGUUACAUGCGCUCGAAAUAAGAGGCAUCUGGAACUGCAUCGCCUUAGGAGCGAGGAUGCUAGUAUACUCGUUGUGAAAAAGAACAUUGCAUCCAGUUUCUAGGGCGCUCUUUCUGGUAGGUUGUGAACAUCCGGAGAAACGCAUGUAUUGUGACUAGGGGGUUGGCUAGUAGGAUAAGCCCAUCUGCAAAUAUAUUUUUCAUUCUUUUACAUUGGUUUUUAGUAGUCAAUACUAGCAAUGGUUUAGAUCCUCUCUCCAGGAUUUUUUUACUUUUACCACGUUAGUAUAGACUAUAGGAAAAGUAUUAAAAAGGAUAGAAUGUGAAGGACCUGUAUGGAAACAAAAAAUUAAAAAACAAAAAAAAUGGCUAAACCAAAUUUUUAAGCUUGCGUGUCAGUUUAAGGUUCAGUAGCAGUAAAAUCUUCACAGUGCCCUAAUGGGUUAUGGGUGCCCACGACUUUUUUUUUUGCAAAACACACUAAAAAAUAACCGCUCAUAGACACACAUACACCCAACCUUAUGAAGACAAAUACAGAAAUCUAUCCUUAUAAGCACCUUCGAGAGACUCCGGUAGAUCAUGAUAUUAACAUAAUCACUACAGGCACCUUACUUUCAAUGGGCACAUCAUCUACAAUAAAAAGAAUAACAUCGAUUAAUCUAGAAAAAUUCCUCAACAAAUUUCUUUAAGUCGGAUUGUCUGCGUCGCUUUCGAAGGAUAUGUCUACAUUCUUCCACAGCCACAACCAAGGCGUGUGGUAUAUGGUUGGCUGGCUCCUGGAGCUUUUGAUGCUGGAAAAAAAUUCUACGAAGGAGUCCUACAAGAAACGCAAUGUGCAGGACCUUGCCCGAUGGCUGAUGCGUGGCCGACUAGGAAAUCUGGCACGUGGGCCUCGCAACCGGAGGAAAACUGAAAGAGACACGGACGAGCCAGCACCUCACCUCGGCUCGACUCGAUGAUCAUCAGCUCACACGUACACUCAUGUGCAGAGCCACUCGCGUAACUAGCUUGCCGCCUGGUCGAGUACCUGUAUAUGUUGAGGUCCUUCGUAUCACAAGAUACAGUUAGUUAUAAGGUUGAUUAAUGCAAAGCAAAUGUGACAGCAACAGUGGACCCAAAAAUGUCCACUUGUUUAUCCUGGACCUGCUUAUUAAUAAGAAAGGGCAAUGCUCGUUCUUAUUCCAUCUCCUUAUAUCAUCCGAUCGAGUGAUGUAUGUGGCAGCUCGUUUUAUUCUGCUGACCUCCUCCGAUCCAAUUACUGCUCAGCUAUGAAUCAAUGCAUUGGUAACAGGAAGCAUCCGGAAUCAUUUCCCUUCAGAUAUGUAACCAAUGUAAUCAUCUCCAUGACAAAACCAACGAAUUAACGACUCGCCGGAUCCAGCAUACUAGUCUGCCUGAAACUAGCAGCCUCUAUCUUGUGGAGUGGAGGCAGGACACCGAGCAUGUGGACUGCCUCGAGCUCGCACAUCGGUGUCCAUCAGCCUCGAUGUGCCCAUCAGCCUCCAAGAUAAGCAGGACGACGCUGCAAUGUAAUGUGCAGCGAACAUGGUCCCAUUAGGCUAUAGUUUGUGAUUUUGGUAAUUGAGUAACAACAUAGUCAUUAGGACUAAUGCUUUUGUCUAGCAUGUACCUUAUAGUUUUUCUAGAUCCCAAGAAUACAAAUCCUGGUAUUCUUGACACCAAAAUCAUGGUUUUCGAGUAUCCAAGUCAUGGUAUUCGAGUAUCCCUAUAGCUUCGGAUGUUUCGAUGCCCUAUGGAGUUGACUGUCGGACGAAGCAUAUUUAAUGUGAUAUCACGCAGAGAAGUUUUGGCCAUAAAACCAUCAGCAUCGGAUAAAGUGUCGGAUGAAUUCUUGAGGAACUUGUGCUUGGGGAGCCAACGGCUAGUUGCACUGGAUGUUCUGAUGCAGGCUAAAAAUAGACCAUUGAAACAUCCGAUGGUACCCUUUUUCACUAGCCGUUGGAGCAACAGCUCUUUGAGCCCUUGGGGCUAUUUAUACCCCCACCACUCGCCCAUUUGGAGAAGCUGGAGUGUCCUAGGAUUCAUUGAAGACUAGGACUCAUCAAGAACACAUCCAUGCCACCAAAAUAGCUUAAGUGAUCCAUGAAAGAUUUAGUACAAGCUUAGGAGAGUGAUUAGUGCUAGGAUAGGCCUAGAGAAGUGACAGUCCAACGUGUGCCAACCUUGUGGUUAGGUUCUUGAGUGAACCAAGUGUACAAGAGGUGUGCCGGCGCCUUGGAGCCUUAGUGGCUCACCGGUAAGUCUUCGACCCUCCGGUGUGGCGCGGCAUUGACUACCGUGUACGGGGGACGUGGAGACCCCCUUCCUUCGUGGAGAAGCUCCGUAGUGGAUACGGCAUCAAGAUGACCAAGGAACUUGGCGUGUGCCUUAGUAGCCGAGCUUUUGUGGCAAGUCAAGGUGUGCCUUAGGAGAGACUUGGUCACUGGGAAGCAAUACUCUUAUGUGAGUGCUUCAACAACGUGGACUAGUGGUGGCUUAGUGCCUACCAAUACCAUAGGAUAAAUCAUCAUGUCAAGAGUUUUUUUCCUCUCAUCCCCUCCUUUACGUUUCCGCAUUUCAUACUUGCAACUUGUGUACUUUUACUUUCCUAGAGUAGUAUUUUGAUAGGAUUGACUAUAGGUUGCAAAACUAUUUGACUAGAUCAACCGUAAAAUGCACAUCUAGAUAGAAAUAAUCUAGUUUACUUUCAUGAAAAAAUGGAAGCCAUAGGUUUAAAAUUUAAGUUUGUCUAAUUUACUCUCUCUCCCUCUUAGGCUACGAGUACCCAUUCCUUUCACAAUGCACUUGGCAUAAGCGUUCAUCUCAAGAACAUGGACAAGUAACCGAAGGCAAGGAGGCGUGUGAUGGAUAAGGUGUGGACUUUGAGUCCUUUGGUAACUGAUGCUCCUACAGCCUCUCCUGUAAACGAUGCUGACGAUGUACUUCAAGUAGCAGAAGGCAGAAUACGUAUCAUAGCACCAUGACAGUACACACAAGUCACCGCUUCAGAUUCUCGUUCUCCAAUUAUGCAUCGUCUGAUUAAUUUUGGGGAACUUUCUCCCCAAGCAUAACGUAUUGGCGGAUCAACUUUGGAGUGUUUGGUUUGAGGAACCGCCUCAUCCUAGAUGCGGUGAUUGAUCAUAAGAUAAUUCUAUGAAGUUUUGUAGGAUGAGCAAAUUUAUCAUGCUUAUACACUCGCACUAAUUAAUAGCUUGUGAGGGAUCCUUAGGUGAUGGAUCAACCCAUUCCAAUCCAUAGAUCAAAUAAAAAAGUGAAGAGUGUAUUCCGCAACCGAAACACACCUACUUGCCUGACGUGCUAUAUACGCUGAGGAAGAAGGUGGUGCCUGAUAGGACUUGGGAGGACCUAUAUAUAUUGGCGUUCUGGGUAACGACUGCGUACUCUCCUACGUACGUACCUCAGCUCUCUACCGGCCUAUCCACGCUUGAUCGAAUGGCCAUAUGGCCGAACAACAUUGAAUUGUUCCAGAAUCUGAUCGAAGUGCUGCAUCCUGCUCAAUCAGCUGUAACUGUGUUACGGCGAGGCGUAGCUGAGCGCAAGAUGCGGCACUGCAGCUGACCAGUGAGGCCUAUCAUGGUGCUAAACGAGGGCACCGUCCGGAACUAGUAGUCCUCGUAGUCCUUGUUAGUCCUGUGCAAUUUCUUAUAUGCAGAUUGCGGUCGCUUCAUGUCAGGGUAUACGUAGUCCUCACAAGCUUGUGCGUGUCCUUUCAGAAUAUCCCCAGCCAAACUCUCUUUCUAGAUAGACUGCAUGUUAAAAGGUAGAAAUGUAGAAUAGCUUCUCUUUCCUUGUAAUUCAAGAAACGUGUAAUCCAUGAACUCUGGCCCUAUCUGCCGAUAGGAUUGCCGUACAAAUAAAUCUAUACGAAGACGUAACUGACCCACCGUAGGCCAUUCAACCCAAUUAGCUUUACAGUGCACCUGAAUGCUGAGAUCUUCUAUCAUUAAACUAGAAGAUGGUGAUAGCAUCAACAUUGAAGUCACUUUAGAAAAGAGAAAACGACACUGUACUGCGCCCAUGCCAAUUCCUCUAGUUCAGGCACAUUGGCCCUGCUUCAGUAUCCUUCCUCAAGUACCCAAACAAUUAUUGUAGCAAGCCUUUCUUGGUCUCCUUAAUACACAUAAACCUAGAAUCCCCCAAACCAACUGAAAUAGACUAUGGGAGAAAUAGGACUGGACGAGCUUGCGCGAUUUGCAAUUUGACUUAUUAUAUAGCAAGAGCUGGAAAUUGGAGGCGUGCGGAACGGCGUCACCUCUGGUUGGUACAGUCUCUCGGACCUGCAGUAGAAUUACUACAGCAGCACCAGACUCUUCUACCACUGAAGAAUCCGUUGAAGCUCUGAUCUAGUCUGUGUUUUCUCUACCACCGGUGCUAGCUUGCUCCUACAAAAUCGUAACACCACCAUAGGGCAUAUGAAUAUGUGGCUUGACUGUUGGUCACAAAUAUUCAUAUGUUGCAUGUGUGGUUCAUUUUAGUAAUUUUAAUAUAUAAAAACUAUUGUUAUGGGCCAAGACAAGGUUGAUGACUGGGCAAAGACAAAACCAGGUUGAUGAGUGUCAAAAUUUCUAAAUUUCUUGCACUAGAAUUGCACUCUCUUAUUUUGUGGCUUUGUUCUGUAAAGUAUGUAUGUGCUUUAGCAGAGAGUCCAAAGGGUCCUUUUUUUGCGACCUAGUCCUCAGGGUCCUUGACAUCACUACGAGAAACACUUAAUUUGCCGAGUGCCACAGGCACUCGGCGAAGACCCAAAAACACUCGGCAAAGGCUUUGCCGAGUGUUACACUCGGCAUAUAGCACACGGCAAAUUUUGUGUCAGCAAACACGACUUUGCCGAGUGUCAAAACUCGAGCACUCGGCAAACAUUUUGCCGACGGCCAAAAAACACUCGGCGAAAAGACACACUCGGCGAAAUGGGCAUUGACGGCGUCGAGGGUAACGGCGGGUUUGCCGAGUGCCAGACGGUAGGCACUCGGCAAACACCACCGCUUUGCCGAGUGCCAACACUCGGCAAACACCCCCGCUAUGCCGAGUGUAAGCACACGGCAAAGCCGUGGUGUUUGCCGAGUGCCUACACACGGCAAACUCGGCCACUUUGCCGAGUGCCCUGGCCCUGACACUCGGCAAAGGAGCGCUGUUUGCCGAGUGUUUUGGCUUUAACACUCGGCAAACACCUGGCGCCCGGAGGUGCAACUGCCACCUUUGCCGAGUGUUAAAGACAAAACACUCGGCAAAGGCUCCUCUUUGCCGAGUAUCCCUAUAGCAAAGUGCCCAAAACCCCCCUUUUUCCCGUUUUGUCACGUAUAACGGACUCCUCUCAAUUCACAAUACACAUCAUCACAGGCAUUUGUAAUAAACAAUCACAUGCAUAAUUCACAACCACCAUUAAAAAUAUUAUUCAUAAACAUCACAGGCAUAAUUCAACAUAAGCACGAAACAAUCCAUAAAUCCAAGUUCAAGUCACAAUUUAGUUUCCAAGUUCACAAAAGUCUAGUUCUGUGGAGGCCAAGGAGACCACUGCGACAAAUCUUGAUCUUCAUUAUUCGAAGCCGCCGAUUGAUUCUGCACAUAGGAUAGGACAUUCUGAGCUAACAUCUAAAGUUGUCAAAAUUAAAGUAUUGAAUCUUAAGCACAAUGUGUCAAGUGACUCACAGGAGUAGUUGUGGGUGGCUGAGGCGGAGGGAACAGCAUCGGUGGUGGCGGAGGCAAAAACUGACCCAUGCUCGAAGCAAAAUUCUGCAUGUACUGGAACAUCUGGUCCAUCCUCAUCCGAUUUUCUUCCUCCGUCCUCCGCUGCAUGUCCUCCAUCUGCGCCACCGUCUCCUCUUGUUUCUUCCUUGCUUCUUCCACCUGGGCCUACAAUAUUUCAUUGCAAUGUUAUAAUGCAAAGCUAAAGUAUAACAACAAACGAACGAUGAAUGGAAGAGAAAGAACCUAGAGAGCCUCCAUCUGGAACUGUGCAGUGGUGGGUCGUGGCCGUAUCGCCGGGCUCGAGUCCGUGCUCCUAGCUCGGAUCUAGGAGAGAGUGGGAGUAGAGGCCGUGUCGAUUACGUCGUCGCCAAUCCAAUAUCGGCCAUGCUUCUUGCCUCCAACCACCCUCAUCAUGAUUUCUCCAUCAAUAUCCUCGGAGCUCGGAUCGAAGUCUGGCCCGUGAACCUCCCUAGCCAUCUUUGUAUACUCAUUGACGCGACUGUGUAUGCUAGGAUGGCUGUACGCCUCGGACGGGUCGUCUGGGUUGAAAUCGAUAUCGGCCAUCGCCUUGCCCUUUUUAGAGAGGACCCAUGCCUUGAGCUGGGAGCAAGGUCGGCCAUCAUGUGACGCCGACUACAGCAAAAAUUACAAAAUGAUUAGGAAUUAUGUAGAAUUAAAUGUUAGAAUAAAGAAUUGAAGUUGCGUACCCAUUUUUCUCUAUAUUCAUCAAGGCUUAGGCUACCUUGAUGGUGUGGUGCAGUCGGCAUCUGCAAACGUCGCUGCUAGCAAGCAAGGUGGUUCUCCAACCACCCGGGCUCCAACCACACGUCAACCAUCUACUCCCAGCACUGGAUAUGCGCACGACACCACCACGGAGCCACCUACAUCAUCAAGCAUGUGACAUAUGAAAAAGAAAUUGAGUCUAAUUAAUCUUAAAUAGUAAGUGUCAACGUUCUUUACUUACCCUCAUGAAUUGGUCCUUGGUCUGGUUCAUUGUUCUUGCCUCCUCUUUUCUAACCUUCAUCCGUCUGUAUUGAGCGUGGAAUUCGAUGAUGGCCUGGAUGCACGCCUCGUAAUGCAUGUCCUUCACGAGCUUCUUGGCGGCUACAUCACAGACGGCCUUCGCCUUGGCCUCGAAUCCCUCCUGGCAUCUAUAGAAAUCCUGCAUAUAGACGCAUAUACAGUUAUUAUUUCAAGAAUGUCGAACGUAGGUGAUGUAUUGAGCAAUUUAAUGCGAGGAGUACUUACCCACAGCUCAGCCUUGACCCGCUCUGCUAUGUUGGGGAAUCUCCUCUGUUGACGAUCAGGGACGUCGGGGGUGGCGACGUAGUGGUCCCACAUGUAGGCCGGCUGCUGCUGUCCGGCGUACUCCACCAAGCCAGGGAAGUGAACCCUGCACAAAGUGCCAAGGAUCCCGUUGGCCUUACGGUUGUGGUCACCCCCACUGAGCUUAAUCCAACUCCUGCACAAGUCAUUAAUAUAAAUUAUUAGUUUUUGUAACUUUCAACAUAAGAACAUUAUUAAGAAUAUUUAAAGUUACUUACUUGGUCCCAACCGGUUUAAUCAGCGGGCGUAAAUGCUUAGGUAUCGAACGCUUCGGGAGGGAUGAGGGACCUCGCAACCAUAUCUUGGACUGGGCAUCCCCUGCCUCCCUGUCCCCCUCCUGCUCCUGCUGCUCCUCCUCCUCCGCCUCCUCCUGCUCAUCGUCCCCAGAGGCGUGUGCGGAAGGUAGCUCCUCCUCCUCCUCCUCCUCCUCUACCUCAGGUUCAGGCGACGGGGGCCUCGCCGCUUUACCUUUCCCUCGAGGCCUCUGGACCACCUCCUCCUCCUCCUCCUCCUCAACCCUACGUCGAGGCCUGCCUCGACGCCUCCCUCGACCGCUCCCUAAACGUGACCCUGACCCUGAACCAGUGGCCGGUGGAGGCCUUCAAGUGCGUGCCCAUGCAAGUAGAAUUAGGAAGGCAAUCUUUUUUCCUCAAUCACAUUUGGACUCAAGGAGCUCUUUUUAUAGCACGGCCGCACCUGGUCCCUUAGAACUCGGUCCUCUUUGACUAAGCCAAGUUCAAUUCCAACAGCCCGGACUUACCCUGCCAAGUCGUUGGUGAGCCAAAUAUUUGGCGGCCGUUUCUGCCGCCCGCAGUUCGCCAACGCGGGGGUGAGAAAAUGAACUAAGCGGCAACAUGAGCCAACGACGCGGCACGGGCAAGCCAAAAAAUUAGCGCUAAUCCAAACGACGGCCAACGGAGCGUGGGCUAGCAAAUAUUUGGCGGGGCCAGCGUUGGUCGUAAUCCAAUCAUUUCCAUACUCUUUAUAAUGCCAUAAGGGCCAUGUCUCAAGGAGUGGGUCGUUGGUGGGUGCAGUGCGUUUGCUCUGUUGUACGAGAUCAUAUCAACAUCCUGUAUUCCCAUCGAUCUCACGACUCGAAAUGAACUGUUCCUGGACAGAACAGCCGCAUAGGGCUGAAUUAUCGUAGGUUGUGGCAUGCCAACAGCUAACUUCACUCCACAUGCCCGUUUCCUGGAUGCUUCGUGCACCUCCACCUCGCUACCAAAUUGUUUUGUAGGUUCAGAGCAUCUGCACCAGGCAUCUAAAUGGUUCCUAGCUUGUUAAUUUCAUGGCAACACAAAGACAUCACCCUUGUCAAACUAGUCUUAGUUACAGCCCAAUGAGCCUCAUCGGCCAGGUUUCCUGCAAUUCGCAGCUCGGUGGUAUGGCAGCACCCCAUCGAAUGCUAUACUGAUCGUGGUUGCAUCAUGGUGGUGCAAUCGAGACAUGCAUGGAGCUCCUCAACCUUAACUAUUCCUCACCCACAUCCAUUUUCCUUCCAAGAACAUGCGACAUUAGAGAGGGAUAGAUGUACUUCUAGAUGCCUACAUCAGUUGCUUGUCAUAUAUCUACCAACAAACUAUAUGCAUAUUAAUAGUAAAAUCACAUCUUAAUGUAUCAACAAUAAGGUGUUCCUGGAUUCGCUUCUGUAAUUUCUCUAUGUUGACACUAUUGAAGAUCGUAUCUUGUAGUAAAAAACACUCGACAUGCGGGGGUAAGACAACCUCAGGGCAUUUGUUAAGAGAAGAUCUUCUCACACAGGUCGAGAAAACCCCCACAGUCCUACCCCACCCUUACACAGAGGCACUGUAGCAUGUGUGAGACGAUUAACACGACCUGAGGAGUACUACUAUAGCCACAUAAUCAACUCAGCUAGAAGCCCGUUCGGCUUAUUAUUUGCUUCAUUGAUCGGAUUGACGUCUUCAAAUAUCGGAGGGACUUUUCAUUGGUCUGAGUGAGUGAUCUAUUUAUUUAGUGCUUGAAUAUUCAUACAAUUCUAGAGACAUCUUGAUGUGAUCUUAAGUGAGCUAGCUAAAAUUUCAACAACUUCUUGAACUUAGUACUAUAAGUAGGCAUCGAGAGAUUUGGAACUUCUCCAUUAGGUUAUAAUGAGUAUCCUUCAAGAAACCAAAGCAACUUGUAAGCUUAAUAAAAUAAACUAAGCAAACAGGACAUCGUACUUAGGGAUGGAAAUGGUACGGAUACAGACAGAAUUCAAAUAUUUUUAGUCGAAUAUCCAUAUUUUUUGUCGAAUGAUUCGAAUUUGAACGUUCUCGAAUACGAAUACAAAAUGAUCGAAUGCGCGCAUUCGGAUAUCUACUAAAUUUAAAUUAUAGCUACUAACUACUUUUUUAAUUGAUCAUUUUGGAAUAUCAAAAUCAUUUCGCAAGUAGAGAAUAAAGUAUGACUAUGUAACACAUGUAAACAAAAAUACAUAGUUCAGAAUAAAUAUUUAUCAAUAAAUAUUUCAAUAAUUAAAUGUAUUAAUAAUAAUAAAUAAUAAAAAUAAGUGAAUAUUUUAAUAAAUAAAUGGAUAAAAAUAAUUUAUGCAUAAAUAAACAAGUAAAAUAUGGUACUAAAAACUAAUUUGCAUCAAUAAAUAUAUCUAUUUCAAACUAAAUUAAAAUAAUAUAUUUAUAGCAUGGUUUGGAGAGGUGCUUUAUUCUAAACGAAUACGAAUAAUAUCAGAUAUUUCGAAUACGAAUCCGAAUUCGUAUAGACAAAACUUAUUAGAAAGCGAAUUCGGAUACAUCCACUUUAGUUACCAUAUUAGAAAUGGACGCGGAUACGAAUAUCCAUAUUUACAUUUUAUUGAAUAAGAAUUCGGAUAAUUCAGAUUUCCAGCUAUCCAUUUCCACCCUAUUCAUACUGCAAAUCUUCCAAGGCAUUUAACAAGGAAAGCAUUGGCGUUUAGUUUGUGAAAAUUAAAGCAUUGAUUCCUACCACGUAAGAUUAGGGUUGCACGUUCUAUGAUGGGAGCAAAUUUGAACAAUGGGGCAACUCGAUCCCUCUACUUAUUUCAAGGGGAUCGGUUUGGGCUAGUUCAACUACACUUUGAUUGUGCCUGAUCUGUUCCUCCUCAUUGAUUCCUGCGGAGUAAUAUUAGGCAUCUGCCUACAUGCUUCAUCCCAAAUUUAUCAUUAGAUUCCUCCAAAGACCCUUCUGUGUAUCACAAGCUUAUAUACCACAAAUUUCGUUCUCCUCUAAACAGUUCAGUUUUUGGCCUAUGUCGCCCAUAUCGUUAGAGUCCUAUUCCAACCUUCUCUUUUUGGCAGACAAAGGGACCUUUUAUAGAUGGAUAAAAAGGACCACUAGUUGAAGUACAUUAUGAAUUUUUCGGACUUUGUAACAAAAGAAUAGUUUAGUAAAAAUAAAUAACUGCACUUCACCCACAAACACCAAUAAUCCUGCGAUCCUAUGUUGAAGUUUGCCUGUGCAAAAGGACACCGAUUGCCCAGCUUUCAAUCAUAUCUCAGUUACCAAAUUAAAAUGGUUGGUGUGUCCUUUUAAUGGAAAAAGUUUGCUGUAGGCAGCUGGUCUUCUUGGUCCUUAGUUUCCUUUAUAUAUACAUACAAACUAGAAUCCUUGAACCAAUUAAAAUGGACCGGAUAACAAAAGCAUGCAUGAUCUGGACUUGCACGCAUGAUGUGGCCUACUGGAAUAGGGGGCAUCUAGCUAGAACCACAUCACUUGGGGGCGUCGCUAUUGCACCACUUCAAUCCUUGAUGGAGCUAGCAACAGAAGAGGUAGAUGCAGUUGCCCAAUAUCAAAUUGGUUCUCUUACUGUCACCGGUGCUUGCGUUAGUGAAAUAUUCAGUAUCUUUUGUCAUGUGUGCUGUCCGGUAUCUUUUGUCAAACGGCACCACUAGCACUUAGACGUCCAAUUUUUCUCGUCGGACGGUCCGUUGCAACAUGAGGAAAUAAAGUCUGCAACACUGAAACUUAGCUUUUGUAACAUUCAAAUAUACGAUUAAAAUAUCAGCUCCAUAACAUCCGAUUCUAAAGAAAAACAAAUUCCCACCGCAACAAAUAAGAGAUGUUUCAUGCAACAUCCCAAUUCAAAUCGUCUUUUUAAGUAAGAAUCGUAACUUUGCAUAUCAGCUAUUGAAAUAUUUAAUACCUUAUGCAACAUCGAGAAAUGGCUAAUGCAACAAUAUCACUUGUUGCAGUAUCAAGGAAAAGUCUGUAGCAUUUCAAAUUAAUUUAUGCAACGUUGGGAAACACUAACCCAAACAUCUCAAACCAUCAAGUGCAUCAGAAAAAUCGAACAUGAAACUGGACAUCUCAAAACCAAUAUUGCAACAUCAAAGACCAUCUAAUGCAACAUCAGCAAACACUAAUCCCAACAUCUCAAAAAUACCAACUGCAACAUCGUAAAAUUUUGGUGCGUCGUGUCUUACUGGUGCCUCUAAACAUGGAGUCUUCUUCCUCCAUAUCAUAAUAGAAUGCUCUCAUGGAGUCAUGGUGCAUACAUCCAUCUUCCCCUUUACAUGGACCUCCUCCCGGUAGCACUACGGGAACCAGACACUUUGCCGAGUGCCACAGGCACUCGGCGAAGACACGAAAACACUCGGCAAAGGCUUUGCCGAGUGUAACACUCGGCAAACAGCACACGGCAAAUUUCCUGUCGGCAAAGACUAGUUUGCUGAGUGUCAAAACGCGAGCACUCGGCAAACAUUUUGCCGACGGCCAAAAAACACUCGGCGAAAAGAUGUACUCGGCGAAAUACGCGCUGACGGUGUCGGGGGUAACGGCGGGUUUACCGAGUGCCAGACGGGAGGCACUCGGCAAACACCGGGUCUUUGUCGAGUGUCCGGGUCUUUGCCGAGUGCCAACACUCGGCAAAGACCCCAUGUUUGCCGAGUGUCACAGGUGGGCACUCGGCAAAGUCAGCUUGUUUGCCCCCGGAAAUUUGUGACUCACACUGACACGUGGACCCUUGGCGCGCAUUGCCGAGUGCCCCGGGGUGACACUCGGCAAACAAAGUAGUUGCCGAGUGCCCUACUUCGACACUCGGCAAAAAGGUACCCAUAUUGCAUGUGCAAAGCACUUUUAGUAAUUAAAAGUAUGUAAACUUUGUGUAAACCUAGUCAAAUUCACUAAACAUUGCGUAUUCCAUUUUUUAAGUAAUAUUGUUCCAUUAUUUCAUGGAUUUAUAGCUCAUAUUGAAUUUAUAUCUAUUAAAUUCAUAUACUUGCAAUUAAUAAAUAAAAAUUAUCCAACGGAUCCGAAAAAUCCUCAAAAUUUAACAUGAACCAAUCUAUGUUCUCUAUGGCCUAUAAAAAUAAAUUGGGACUCAAUGACAAAUUCAAGUAUCGAUUCGACUCAAAAUCUUACCGGAUCCUUCCAACUUCUACGAAUCCUCUCCGGAGAUACUUCAAAUUCUAAGCAUCAUAUGUCAAAACUUGUGCGAAACCUUGUCAAUUUUUUACCACAGCCUCUGCAUAUGAAAUCAUAGCAUCUUGCAAAAUCUCGUGAUUUUCAAACUUCGUUUGUAUUUUUGAGAAUUAAAUAAUCAUUUGGCCACACGUUCGUAGUCGUAUUUCCUUAACAAAAUGUUCGAAAUUUCUUUUCAUUUUCUGGGUAAGACCUCAAUUUGGACUCACUAACAUGAAUAUAAUUUUUCCACUCAUAUUAUUACAUUAUUCCAAUCACCUGCAGUUCAAAUUUGACUUAAAUCAACAAAUUACUCUAAAUGAAAUUAAUUGAUUAAAUAUAGCAAACAGGUCAAUAAGAAGUCCACCUUGUACCAUGCAGUGCCAAAUCUCAUACAUGUGGAGUAUAAAAAGUUUGGAGGGGGGAGGAGGGAAUUUUUUUUUUGCCGAGUGUGCCAAAAAACACUCGGCAACCCCUUAGGUUUGCCGAGUGCCCCACCGAGACACUCGGCAAACUCUCAGCUUUGCCGAGUGCCCCAUCGAGACACUCGGCAAACAUGGAGUUUGUCGAGUGCCCCCCGUCGACACUCGGCAAACCGUAACAUCCGUCACGGCGACGGCCCAGCGCGGUACGUGGAAGUCACGUGCUCAAGUAUUUACCGAGUGGAUUUUGUUUGCUGAGUGCCCCGUGGAAGUUUGCCGAGUGUUUUUUUUGUGGCACUCGGCAAAUCGUGUUUUUGCCGAGUGUAUUAUUUUUGCCGAGUGUUACUAGGAAUGCACUCGGCAAACGGGUCCUUGCCGAGUGCCCGCAAUAAUACACUCGGCGAAGAAAUUACACUCGGCGACUUUGAGGUUUCCCGUAGUGUAGGCACAUAAGUAGGAGCAAGCGCAUGGCUCGGCCACCGGCAUGGGAGCAAGCGACUCAGCAUCCUGCGACCAUGUCCUCAAACGACGUGAAUUGGAAUAGCUCGUGACCCAGGUUGGCGGUGACGGCUCCCAGCGGGAGCUCGGUGGGUGCACUGCUUUGGCCUUUGGCGGUGUGGGGCAUGACCACUGCAAUCUCACUAGCAUCUAGCAUGUGCGCUGGAUGCCUGGAUGAGAAGGGGAGUAGCUUCUCAUGGAAGGAACCAGAUGAGGGGAAAGUGAAAGGAAAAGAACUAAUGCGUGGAGGCAACGUGUGGUGACCCGCAUCCGAUAUUUUCACCAUCCACCGGACGGCCGAGCUGUAGCAUUACCAUUUGUCAAAUUGGUGCUUUUGACCUUAGUUAACAAACAUCAUAUUCAUAUGUCGUCUGCUUAGUGUCUGAACUUAGACUUUGAGUACCAAAUGCUUCGUGCAUGCUGGCCUGCUGCCUGAAGAGACAAUGCAAAACUUGUCGGAUUUAUGCAUUUUGCGUCCGUAGCUGGGCUGCUGCAGAUACUGUUCAAUGUCCUGAUACCCCUCUCAGGCAAGAAAAUGGUUUUCCAAUGGAUUGGACUGAAGCCGCCUCAUUAUCUGAAAUCAGAAACGGCAGACCCUACAUGGAGGAGCAAAACUGGUCAUCAAUUACUCGUCCAUGCAUCAACAGAAAAUUGGUUUGCACUUUCACUCCUUGAAAAUUUGGAACUCAAAACUUGGCUUGGGGAUGAGGCGAUAUUUAGGGAGGAUUGAGUAAUUAAUUAAACAAGAAAAAAGAACUAAUUAGCCAUCCUUGCUAGAGAGAUCUGAAUCCUCCAGUCAUUAAGGACAGAACAGACCUGGUUAAUGAUCCUGCUCUAGAACUCAAUGCCAAGUCAAAGCCAAAUCCUCAAUAAACAAAAAGGAAAGAAACAAAUCAGGGUGGGUACAAGGAGUCAAGGACAGAGGACUUUGGUGCGAUUAGAGAGACAGAGACGACUAUACGCGUCUUUACAAAACUAGAUCGACCCAUCCAUCCUGACACAUGCCAAUGUCAUGCCCUCCAACAUAUUGCGGAUACAGUAAUCAACUGCUAAUAAGUGUUUCUAAAGAAGAACCUCUAAGCGAGGGUGAAUGAUUAGCCAUAGCGUGAGUCCCGGCGCUUGAACAUCCAGCAAAUAAGGCAGCCGCAUCCUUGUCGUCGCGGUCUGUCCUGCUGGCUAGGGAGAGAAGACGACGGCAGCGGCGACGGUGGUCCCUGCAUCAACUGAGACACAGCAGACGACAUGAUGAUGGCCGCGGCGGCAGCGCCGGCGGCUGCUGCCGCCCCAGCUCGUCACGAGGCAGCAGGCGGAGUGUAACACCCAAAAUUUUAGAGAAUUCAAAUUCAUUAAAAUUUGCUCAAAUUAGGGUGUCGCAUUUAAAUUCAUUUUCUUUAAUUUAAUUAAAUUCAUCAUAGGAGUUAAUUGUGCAUUCAUGCUGGUGCAUUUAUUUUGAUUGCUUGAGUUUGAAUCAAAUUUUGAAUUUCCAAAUUUAAAUUCAAUUUCCAACACCAUUUCCUUUUCCUUUUCCUUUUUUUCUUUUUCUUCCUCUCCUCCUGGGCCGCAUCUUCCUUUCCUUCCCUUCCCCUUUCUUCUUUCGGCCCAGCCGCACCAGCGCCAGCCGCUCGGCCCGCUCCACCUUUCCUUUCGCCGGCCCGUCGCUCCCACCUCCGCGGCCUGCCGCUUCACCUCCUCCCCUCGGCCUGCGAACGCGCGACGGCCCACGACGCUGCGCCGGCCCACCUAUCGCCCGCUACCGCCGACAGGUGGGGCCCGCCAUCAUCUCCCACCUUCGGCCGGACUCUCCUCCGUCCGCAACCACCGCGCGAGAUCUCCGGGUAGGCGCCGCCGUCCCCAACCGAUUUGAACCGGGGCCGCCUCUAUCUCCAAGCCACUCGCCCCUAUUUAAGCUGCCACCUCCCCCGGCCAAGAGCACCCGCGCCAGCACCCUCCAAACCCUAGCUGUCGCGAGCUCUUGCGCCGCCGCCACUCUCCGCCGCACGCCGCCGCCAAAAGGUGAGCGCCGCCGCGCCGUGGCUCCCACCAAGGCCCUAAACGGGUUCGCCGUGUUCCCCGCUCUCUUCUGGUGCAAUCCGCGCGCCAAACCGUGCCCCGGAGCGCCGUUUCGGCCAACUCCGUCGACCCGCCGCCGCUCGCCAUCGCGCGCCGCCGCUCGCCGCCGCCGGUCGUCUGUUUACCGCCGCCGCCGCGAGCCAUCGAUGAUCGCGUUGAAAAAAUAUUUACAGAUCUGCCCUUGCACUUUUCGGUUUAACCCUUGAACUUUCCAGAAAUCAACCCGCCGUCCGGAUUUGAGUUUUUGGCGCGUUAGACCUUCGGUUUAUACGCAUAAUUACGUAUAAGCCCUCGGUUUUCGCGGUUUGGUCCGAAAAGUUUUAUUUUUCUCACAGAAAAGCCCCUGGAUCUUGUUUUAAUCAUAUCUUUUGCGUCUUAACUCCGUUUUUCGCGUUCUUUAUAUCCACGUGUUCGUUUUAAAGCAUAGAUCAACUUUUCAAGCUUGUUUUCUCUGUUUAAUUGUGAUUGGUGUACUGUUUCUUACUUUUUGCCCAUGUUUGCUUGUAUGUGCUCGUGUGACGCGUGUAGACGUCCCGCAGUUCGAGGGAGUUGAAGAUCAAGCCUUCGAGGAGUACGAACAGCAGGAGCAAGGCCAAGAAGGCAAGUCGUGUCCUUGAUCACUACUUUUUCAUCCUAUACACCUUUACUUUCUCGUACUCAACAUUUAAGCUAUGCACAUGUUAAGAUUAAAUUGAUGGGUCCCAAUUAAGGUUCGCCUAGAUUGAUUUACCUUUGCCUUGACCAACCGGUUUACUUUAUGUUGGGUAGCUCAUGCUUAGUGCUUACUUGGUACAUGGUGGUUUAACUAAACACAAAGUUCAAUCUUGCUUGACUUCUGUUAUACCUUUCAUUAAUACAAGAUCAUUAUGGUUAAUCGGAACAUGGAGAACCACCCAGGAAAACAGUGCUACCACAAGACUAAAUGGCUCUGGUCUUGGCUGAUUAAUUAGAAACCUUAGUCUGGGGUGACCUUACUCGUGAUGAGGCAAGAGGGGGGACUGAGUCGUUGCAUUUUUGCCUGGGAUGGGUGGUGCACGCCAGACACCGAAACCUUAGCGGGUUACCACUGACUAAUGAAUCUUUGUAAAGGCCUCGUAGCGUCCCUAUGCAAUCACACCUCGGAAGUGUGGUAUGGUGCCUUGCAAACACCGCAUGGUUGGGUCCAAAGUUCUUUUGAACUUUUACGCGACUUGUGGGUAAAGAUGUGCCACCUCUGCAGAGUGUAAAACUGAUCGAUCAGCCAUGCUCAUGGUUAAGAGCGGCCUGGACCCUCACAUGAUAAUAUUAUCGGAAGAUGGAUUUAACUUGUUAUCAUUUCAUGCAUAUGUUGCUUACUUUAUUUAUGAUCAUGUUUAAUUUCGGGUGGUAUGAACUUAUACUUAGUUAAUUGCUAAUAAAACUUGACCAACUUAAUUAAAAGCGAAUGCUAAUUAUGCCUUAGCCAUACCUUGAUUUGCCUUACACUACACUAUUCCCCACGACUUGUUGAGUACCAAUCAUAAGGGUACCCACCCUUGCAAAACCGCUGUUCAGACCAAGCUAAUUGGGAAGAGGAGUAUCUACACAACUUUGAGGAGUUCUAGGCGUACGUUUCUUCAGUCAGCUGCCUGUGGAGUCGUCGUCGUCUUUGGAGUUCCGCUGCGUAAUAAUUAGACUUUGUGGUUUACUUGAGACUUUCAGUUAUGUAAUAAUGGUUAAUACUCUCUUUAUUCGAUUUAGCACUGUCUUUGUUAUUCACUAUUGUCGUACAUGUGUGUAACUUGAUCCUGGCGCACAUGUAUUUAAUGCACUCGAUUUUGUCCUUAAAAUCAGGUGUGACACGGAGCAGCGCGCAGCUCGACGAGGACAGGCGGACGGCGGCGCGGUCGAGCGAAGGGGCGCGUAAGCGCUCAAGAACAACGGCUGCUUAAUAUAUUGCUGGGCUUUUUCCAGAUUAAUUAAUACUGCGUUGAAUACAGAGAUGUACUUACUCUUACGAAAUCAUGCACUGGGCUUAUUUGGUUUCACUAAGGCAUACCUAAGACCAAUCAUUAUUUUCUUAACAUAUAUAUUUAUUUACACAAAAUUGAUAUUCUUAUAUUUGUGUUCAGAGAUACUCCUAUUUUUCUAUACUUAUAUGGACAAGUCUUGUACACAUGUCGAAGUGACUUAUGGGGUGGUUUUUGCAAUUUACCUUAUCAAUAAGCAUGGACUCGUACCGAAUGCAUAUGAACUAGAAUUUGGAUAGCGCUAUUUGAAUUAAAUACAAAAUGGAUAGUUCAAAUUCGGAUUCUCGGAUACCUACUCAAUUUGGAAGAUAACAACUAUAAGUACAUUGUGCUAUGGUAAAAAAUGCAACUAAACUUAAUAAUAAACAUCGAACUAGAAUUUGGAUAGCGCUAUUUGAAUUAAAUACAAAAUGGAUAGUUCAAAUUCGGAUUCUCGGAUACCUACUCAAUUUGGAAGAUAACAACUAUAAGUACAUUGUGCUAUGGUAAAAAAUGCAACUAAACUUAAUAAUAAACAUCGUGCUAUGGUAACAAAUGCAAUUCAACUUAAUAGGCAAACUCAAAAGUUUGUGAAGACAUCUCCUAUAUAUGUAAAAAAAUUGCAAUGUUAGACGAUCCGGGCGGUCUCCAACCCAUGUCCAGCAGUAGAGAGGAUUUGGACCUCUAAACAUUCAUAUGUUGAUUCCUCCGAUCAACAUUACCAAAGACAUGUCCCUGGUUCUUUUUUCAGACAUAUAGGUGGUGUACUAUUUAUUGAAUCACAUGAAUGGUGAAAUCUUCAGUACACAUUAGAUCCAGAUUAAUGAAGAUGGAGCAAAUGCACACCAACCUCACAUUCCUGGCAUUACAUGUUCCCCUUAUACUACCUCCAUUCUUAAAUAGAUGACACCAUUGACUUUUUUUAUUUGUUUGACCAUUCGUCUUUUCUACAAAUAUUUUUGCAAAUAGACAAAAUUAAAAGUUAAAUCUAAAUUAUAUUUGACCAUAGACAUAAUGAUACACAUUUUAUUUUAGUUAACUAACUCGUUCAAUAGAUAUUGAUGGUCAAAGUUGAAAUAAAAUGUCAACAGCGUCAUCUAUUUAAGAACGGAGGGAGUAUAUAAAAGGGCAUAUAGCCUUGCCUCCUACCCUAGCACAUUAUGAGUUCAGUUGAUGUAGCUGCUCUCCUUUCCUUCUUCCUAUUAUCAACCCGUGCAAGCCCCGAGACAAAAUGCACCCAAGGAGUAAGUGGACUUGAUCGACGUGCGUCUGCAACUCUGCAUGAUGCCCAUCUUGUUUCGCUAGGAGUAGGAGGGAUUGGGAAUUGCAUCCAUUGUGGCGUAAGUUAUCCAUGCAGCUGAUGACGACCUCAAGCGUGCUCUGGAAUUGUUGAUGAUUGAUACAUGGCUCACGGCCUGCAUCUGGCCCAGCAGCCCAUGAAUUAAUUGGGUGCCCUGACACGCGGUGAGUUCUCAGCAUCACCACGAUGGCGCAAGAAUGGUGUUAGAAUGGUUGUAGUACAUUAAAUCUCAUGUAAAAAAGCGGCUGCGGGUACUCUUAAGUUUAUAACUCCUCAUAUUCUCAUAGUUCUAUAGACUGAUAACAUCAGAGACAUCUUCAGUUCAUACACUGUUUCAUGCACAAAACCAAAGUUCAAGAAAACACAUGAAAACCAUUGAGAUGGAUAUCACAAGUACCUAGGAUGAGAGUAUGGGGAGGAAGAGGACUGGGGAGAGAAGAGAAUUAUGAUUGGAUGAGUAUAGUUUGUAGCAACAAUUAUACGCUAUGCAGUGGGAGCUGUAGUUUCUGGUGGUGCCUAUAUGACAUGGCAUGUCAAGGACACUAAUAUGUAGUGCUUUGGUUGGAACUGCAUAUUAGAAGUUUGACUUAUAUUUCAGGUGUUUAGUGUACUUAUUAUCUGAUCGGUUAGGUUCCCCGUACAGACUCUCCACUGUUAUGGGUUUGCUUAAUGCAGAGCAAGUGCAAAAGUGAACCCACCUACCAAUAUUUGUUGAACCAGUGCCUUCUUACAAAAGCGGAGCGCUUACUCUUACAGUAUCUGGUCACUCGUCUUCUUUCAUCAACCUCCUCUUCUAUAACUUUCACCCAUUCUUAGUCCAGCUGAAAACGAAAAACAACACUUGAUGCGAGUGAAUUCAGGCAGAAGACAUACAAAUUGCAGUGAGAAAUUUCCAGUGGGAUUCUAAAGUAUGAAGUCAUAAGUUGAAAUCAGAAUAGGAAGCAUCUGGAAAUACAUCCAUAAUGCAUCCAUACCAGUUUUGACUGGCAGGUAACUCAUGAAAACCAUGUUAUGACGACGGUGCAUGAAGGAUGCAUGGGUACAAGUACACAGUGUGUCAAAUCAUCAUGCUCUCACAACCACCGCGACAAGCUAGAUCUCCGGAUCGGCUAGGUAUGGGCACGAAAUGUGUGCUGUGAUUCUUUUUGCUAGGACACUCCGUAUUACCAUCUCUCAGCCUUUGAUUUAUAUGGGAGAAAAAGUAAUUAAAGGAAAAGGUGAAGUGCAGCUAUUUAUCCUCGAAUCACGUACGCUAACUAAUGGUCGCGCUUCUUUUGAUUAGUUUCACAGUCAUAGUUUUUCGUUUUUUUCUCUUACCUCUCCGUAUAUUUGGAUACUCUGUUUUUUCUUUUCCCUCAGCUCCCUCUCCUCGAGAUGGAUCAUAAAAUUAGUAAACUUGCCGACCUCGUAUUAUAUUCAAUAGCAUAUUGAGAAUUGAGAUGGAGCAAAGUUGAACAAGUGUGCUCUGUGUGGUCACUUGAUGAUCGUUAUCCUUAUGUGUAGGGACACCGUAAUACAUAUGCAUAAAUCAAAAAGAAUUGUUAAUUACAUCCCACAUGUUUGUGGUGCAGUGCCAUCUUUCAAAUCCUGUAUGUACACGGCUUAAAAAGAAUGGUGAAAUCUUUGUUUCAAUAAGAUCUAGAUUACUCAAGAUAAGAGCAAAUGCACCGCAUUAACACACCAACCUCACAUUCUUGACCAUUACACGUUCCCGUUAUAUAAAAGGACACAUAACCAUGCCUCCUACCCUAGUACAAUAUCUGACCAGCAGUUGAUGUAGCUGCUCUCCUUUUCUUCUUCCUAUUAUCAAUCCCUGCAAGCUGCCAGACAAAAUGCACACAAGGAGCAAGGAGGUGGACUUGAACGUGCGUCUGCAUGAUGUCCACCUUGUUGCGCUAGUAGGAGUAGGAGGGAUUGGGAAUGGCAUCUAUUGUGGCGCAAGUUAUCCAUGGAGCUGAUGAUGACCUCGAGCGUGCUCCGGAACUGCUGAUGGGUCACGGCCUGCAUCUGGCCCAGCAGCCAAGGAAUUAAUUGGGUGACGUGGUGAGUUCAGCAUCACCACGAUGGGUCCAAGAGCAAGACCGGCGGUGUCGAUGCGUUGUACCGCGGGUUUGAUUUCCCACACGCGCGGAGUCUUUACGAGCUCCAACCUGAUGGGCCAUAACAUGAUGAACUUCGCUGUCCAGCGAUCAUCAUCAUCAAAGGCGAGCAGUGGGCGAAGAUGUUGGUAACCUGCCCAAGGGAAAUCAUACACAAUUUGGAUUAAAAAUCCAGUGGAUGCUGAUCCACGAGGGUUUAGGUACAACGUGUAAACUCACUAACAUACUCUAAAAAUUUAUGGAGUGUGGCUAAGGCAAAGUUAUUCCACUAUGCUAGAAAUUCUAGCUACUACCUCCACUCAGCCUAUCCAGCCGGGAACUCGAUGCUAGUGCACCGGUCCAAGGCUUUCCAUUCCCUAAUGUCCGGACUCCAUGGAGGAACUGCUGUGCUGGAACAAGAACGAUGUCAUAUCGCGAUCGAAUACUUCCUCAAUAUUGACACACAUUUACGUUGGACUGGCCUAAUAAAAACACUAUGGUAGGGUUGUGAUAAUGCUGCGCCAUAGAUUAUUAUCACUUCUUCUCGUUUUCUUUAUGCUUUUGACGUUUUAUAAAAACUCAAGCACAAGAAGACUUCUAUGAACCUAAGCCGGGUCAGGAGUUUCAACGACUCCUGGAGUUCAACGUUAGAAAUUUGAAACUGGUACUAAUGAGUAACCUUUAUUACCAGUUGGAAAUUUAGAACCUUUAGUACCUUUAGAAAUUUGGAACCGGUACUAAUGGAGUUCAACAUUUGGAACCCGGUACUAAUGGGUGACCUUUAGUACCGGUUGGAGCCCCCAACUGGUACUAACUUCCCUCCUAUAAAUCAGGCGUCUUCUUCCUCCUAUUCGAGCCAUUUCCUCCAGCUCGGGCUUCAUCCAUUCAUGGCGAAAUAGGGGAGGUGCUAUCGGAUUUUUUACCAUUUCGUGGGGAUUUCACUUAUUCAAGUGUUCUAAAGGUUAGAAACUUCACCCUCCCUUGAUACAUGGCUAGUAUACUAAGUUUUAUGCUUUAGAGCUAGAGUAAUUUGUGAUUUUUAGAAUAAGGUACAAUGAAGAAAUUUUUCAUUUAUAUGCAUGUGUUAUUUAGAGCUCAUAUUUUUUAUUUUUAUAAUAAUCUACAAUUUUUUGGAUGCUAUGUCUCAUAUUAGUCAAAGAAAUUGAUAUGGGGCUAGAGAAAUAAUUUCAUAGUUUAGUCCUUUACAAAUAUGAGCUAAAUAAAUUAUGGAGAAAAAUAUAAUUUGCUCAUAUUUUAGUCAUUUGCAAAUAUGAGCGAGAUAAAUUGUGGUACAUAGAGAUAAUAAGGUGAAAUAGAGGUAUGUAAUUAGUUAUUUUUAGAAUAAGCUACAAUGGAGAAAUUUUUCAUUUAUAUGUUAUGUUUGAGCUAAAUAAAUUGUGGAGGAAAAUAUAAUUUGUUCAUAGUUUAGUCAUUUGCAAAUAUGAGCUAAAUAAAUUGUGGUACAUAGAGAUGGCUAUUCUACAACUUAAUUUCAUACACAAAUAACAUGCAAAUUGGCCAGACUUCUGUAAAAAAAUAGUCAUAGAUAAAGUACACAUGAAUGCUGAUAUCUUUUAUAAUUAUAACUAAUAUAGUAGAGAGAAGGGUCCAUCACCCAUGAGUUGUGUUGAGAUGGACCAUGCACCAGUACCAGGGAACGUGUGUACAAAUGGAGCCGCAGAUGUCAUGUGGUGCCGUCAACAAGCCUGAGGACAUCGUUAGAAACAAUAGGCUUCUUUGCUGCUGGUCCCAUUCUGUGUAUCACAAGCUUAGAUAUGUAUGACAAAUGUCUUCUCUAAACUGUACCGUUUUUUUUUUGUCUACGUGGCCCAUAUCGUAAGGUCAAUUUUUUGGUCUAUGUGGCCCAUAUCGUAAGGUUUUUUUUGUCUACUUCUACCCUUCUCUUUUCCAGAUAAAGGACCUUCUCUAGAUGGAUAAAAAGGACGACCACUGGUUGAAUUCAAGUACAUUAUGAAUGUUUCAGAGUUUGUAAUCAAAGAUAGUUUAGUAAAAAAAUAAUAAUUGCACUUGACCCACAAACAUUAAUUCUUUUGAUCCUAUUUUGAAGAUUGCCCGUGCAAAAGGACACCGACUGCCUAGCUUUCAAUCAUAUCUCAGUAACCAAAUUAAAUGAUUGAUAAUGUGUCCUUAAGGGUACAAAAUUGUAGUAGCUGUUCUAUUCUUCUUGGUCCAUAGUAUCCUUUAUUUAUACAUAGAAACUAGAAUCCUCAAACCAAUUAAAAUGUACCGAAUAACAAAAGCAUGCUUGAUCUGAACUUGGACGCAUGAUGUGGCCUAGUAUUGGAAUAGGAGGCAUCUAGAAGCACAUCACUUGGUGGUGUCGCUAUCGCACCACUCCAUUCCGUUAUGGAGCUAGCCAAAUAAGAGGUAGAUGCAGUUGCUAUACGGCAGAUCGGUGCUCUUUCUUUCACCGGUGCUCGCAGCAGUGAAAUAUUCAGUAUCUUUUUGUCAUGUGUGUUGAUCUCAGCUGCUCAUGUGCUUUAAUUUUGGCGUUGUCAAACCAACACAGAGGAUGAGAUUAUUGUUGUCACUGACUGGAGUGACUUCCAGAUUUGUUGGCAAAUCUCGACGUAAUAAACAGGCCACCUAUAGAGAAGACCUACCCACCAGUUGUACCAUCUAUCUAUCUUUGCCUGCUUAUCGUGUGGCUAACUAAAAUUUGAUAAUACAGAAGACUCAUAGCAGUUCAACACAGGAGAUCAUGGACAAUCAAAUUAGAGAUCAAUUAUAAUAUGUGCACACACACCAAGUUGUCAACAUCGAACAAGAACAUAUGAUGUAGAAGUUGCUCCCACCGUAGGCCAGUUGUAACUAUCUAGAAGCAGGUACUUGCAUUGCAUAAACUGAUCGAGUGGACGCUGCCACUGUCAUUCGACGAGGCAUCUUUUCUCCGUCUACCCUUUUAUUUUUGUUUCAGUUACUUGAGGAGCACCAUUGUUGCAUCCACACGACCACACCCUCACCGCCUAUCCGUCGCGUGGUUCAUGUGGUAAAUACUGUAUUCUUGCAUGUUGUUACUUCUCUGUACCUUCGCACAAUAUUUUUUAUUAUGUUCAUGACUACUGAUAAAUCCUCUUACGUUAUUGAUACUCCAUUUUCUGCCAAGCUCUGUGAUGAGAACAAGAUGAAAAUUCCAUGGAUGAAGAAGUUGUUGUGGUGGCAUGUUUUUCUUUAAUUUAAAAAAGCUGCCUUAGAAAAAGAUUAUCUCUGGAUUUUCACUAUCAUUUGGAUGCCAUAUAAUUCUUCUAAGUCUUUCCUUUUCUUCUCAUUUUGAUGGCUUUGUAAUUCAUCCUUGGGACCUAUAAAACACCUACUAAGGUACAUCUUGAAAAUACAUUAGCCCCAAUGACCAUGUUGUCAUUAAUCACCAAAAUCACUAUGGCCUAGGGACAUUUUCCUUACAAUAUCUACCGUACCUUUUAGCAGAACAGAGCGUUAUAUCCAAACCAGUGCAGAGUAUUAUUUGGACCUAAAAAUUCCUACAUUGGUUCCUCUUGGUAACAUUUGGAAAGACAUGCCUCUGCUUCUUAGUCAUAUAAAAUGACAUGAAUGGUGAAAUCCUUUCUACCAAAAGCUCACGAUACAAUAACCAUCAAGGUUAAUUAAGAUCAAGAAAAUGCACCACCAACCUCAUGGUUGUAACAUUACACUUUCCUCUAAUAUAAAAGGGAGGAUAACCAUGCCUCCUACAUAUCCUAGCUCAAUAUUCGACCAGUUGAUGUAGCUGCUCUCAUUGGACGUGUGUGUGCAUGAUGCAGAGUGCCUUGCGCUAGGAAUAGGAGGGAUUGGGAAUUGAAUCCAAAGUGCUUCCGAUAGAUUGUCCAUAUGGCUGUUGUCCUCGUGGGUGCACUAGUUUUGCUGGUGAUGGAUUCAUGGGACACGGCUUGCAUCUGGUCUAGUGGCCCACAAAUUAAUGUGAUUUUGGGUGAGUUCAACAUCAGUUUUCUGGCCCUGGGAACUGGAUGGGCGGUGUCACAGCGUUGUACGAAUCUGUUCAAGGUCAAGCACCAGCGGGGUAUCGCAAAGUACCCAUGGAACCUUUCCAAGCUCCAACCAGAUGGGCGCCCACUUGAUGACCUUCCUCUCAAUAGCGAUGGAACGGAUGAAGUUAAGUGGGGGAAGAAACGUGAGUCUUUUCCUGUGUCAUCAAAUAGUCCAAUCACUCACAUAUUUGCAGCUAGGGUUCCAUGAUAUGGAAAUUAGAGGGAAGCAAAUAGUAACCUCUGGUGGUUACUACUCCACAUGAGCAGGUGUAGUAGAUGAAAAAUCCUAAGUAAUCUUACCAUUUGAUAUAAGGAAACAAAGGGCUAAUAUCCAUCUAAGGGCAUAAAGAGUCACAAGAAAAUGUACUUUUAUAUCCCAUUGAUGCAAGUUUCACCCACAAAAGAAAAAACUUUCACCCAGAACACAUUGUGUACCAUGCACCAGGACCAGGGUAAAUGUGUGCACUUGGAGCUACAGAUAUGAUGCUGUCAACAAGCCUAAGGACACCGUUGGAAGCAAUAGGUUUCUUGUUUGGUCCCCUUCUAUGUAUCACAAGCUAAGAUAUGUAUGACAAAUGUAUGUCUUCUCUAAAUUGUACAGUUUUUGGCCCACGUGGCCAUAUCGUAAGGUCCUAUUUCUACCCUCUGCUUCUCGCAGAUAAAGGGACCUUUUCUAGAUGGAUGGAUGGAUAGAAAGGACCACUGCUUGAAGUACAUUAUGAAUGUUCCGGAUUUUGUAAGAAAAGAUGGUUUAGUAAGAAAGAAUAACUGCACUUCACUCACAAGCAUCAAUUCUUCGAUCCUAUGUUGAAGAUUACCCAUGCAAAAGAACACCGAAUGCCCAGCUUUCAAUCAUAUCUCAGUAACCAAAUUAAAUUAUUGAUAAUGUGUCCUUUAAGGGUACAAAAUUGUUGUACAUGUUCUUCUUGGUUAGUAUCCUUUAUAUAUACAUACAAACUAGAAUCCUCAAACCAAUUAAAAUGUACCGAAUAACAAAAGCAUGCAUGAUCUUAACUUGGACGCUUGAUCUGGCCUAGUAUUGGAAUAGGGGGCAUCAAGAAGCACAUCACUUGGUGGUGUCGCUACUGCAGCACUCAAUUCCGUGAUGGAGAUAGCCAAACAAGAGGUGGAUGCAGUUGCUAUAUGGCAAAUCAGUGCUCUUUCUGUUACCGGUGCUUGUAGCAGUGAAACAUUCGGUAUCCUUUUGUCAUGUGUGCUGAUCUCAGCUGCUCAUGUGCUUUUGGUGUUACCAGACCAACAUAGAGGAUGAGAUUUUUUUUUUAACUGAACCGCAGGGGAGGCCCCUACUGAAUUUUUCUAUUUAUAUGUAUAAAAGUAUUUACAUUUGUUGGACAGCAAGUCCAAAAAGGAAAAAAGGAAGACAAGCACUAUCUGAGAUUACAUAACCAAGUGUCUAGCUCCAACUUCAAGGAUGGCUUGGCUCUAUGCAGCACAAGCGAGAGUUCAUCCUUGAAGAUAAAUUUCCAUCUCUGCAAAGAGAUAGGAACACCAUCAAAAAUGACUUCAUUUCUAUGCUUCUAGAUAGCCCAACAGGCCACAAUAAGGAUCCCUCUGAAUAUCUUUGAACCAAAAUCUCUUCGAGCUUCAACAAUCCUCUCAAGGCAUGGGAGGUUGAGGUUCCACUGAACAUGAAUCAGACGCCAGCACCAUUGACUAAAAGAGCAUGUAAAAAUUAGGUGAUUAGAUGUCUCCUCCACUCCAGAGUUACAUAGGGCACAGCUGUAAUCAUCGAGUGUUCUACGUUUUUUGCGAAGAAUGUUCCUCGUGUUAAGUCUGUCCCUCAAGAACAGCCAAAAGGUGAAUUUGUGCUACCUCUACUACAGGAUUUCCACAUCCACAUAAAAACUGGGCUAGUUUCAGCAUGACCUGCAAGUUGCUUGUAGGCUUUACUGGAACUGUAUGAACUAUUUCCCCAGAUAUAAGUCCAUUCAUCCUCAAUGUUGUUGUCCACAGUCACACCAUUUACCAAAUUACUGAGUGUCACUAGUUGAUCAGCUGUAGUUGGUGAAAUGGGUGUAAAGAAAUUCCUGUAAGCAUCCUGAGUAAGGAACUUCCUGACUGAGAAGAGCUGAGAAAACUGCCAUUGCAGGACACCCAGGUCCCAAAGAUCUAUCCAAAAACACAUUGUGUUACCCUUGCUAACUUUGCAGGAUGCAAUCAUAAGAUAGCUGUCAGAUAGUGACAACUACAUCAUGCCACCAGAAGGAGCCUGUUGGCCUUUUUAUAUGAGGAACAACCUGUCCUGAAUAUAGACACUUCCAGGUGAGCUUGACCCAUGGGAUGUCUUCAUGAUUGUAAAAUUUAUGCAAAAAUUUCAGCAGUAGAGAGGUGUUCUGGGUUCUCAAAUCAAUUAUGCCUAGUCCCCCUUGGCUCUUUGCCUUGCAGGCAUUUUUCCAAGCUACUAAGCAACCUCCCUUCAUGUUAGUGUCUCCUCUAUCCCAUAAACAGUGCUUUCUAUAAAUGUCAAUUUGAUUGAUCACCCCAGCUGGCAUUUUUAGAGUACAGAGAUAGAAUGUGGGAAGGGUAAAAAGAACUGAAUUGACUAGGAUCAGUCUCCUAGCGUAUGUCAGGCAAGAGCUGAUUCCCAUCAUCCUUCUUUCAAUUCUAUUCAACAAAGGCAUGUAUUCAUCCACUGCUAGCCUAGCUGUUCCAAGAGGUAGCCCUAGAUAUGUGAAAGGCAUACCUCCCACCUGACAUCCAAAAGAAUUUGCCAAGGCUGCUGUCUUAACUUCAACAUUUAUGGGGACAAGAGAAGAUUUGGAGAAAUUAACCUUGAGACCUGUAGAGGUGGCAAAAGUGUCAAGAAACUGCUUCAAGCUAAGAAGUUGUUGAUCAUCAACAGGCAUUUUGAGCAAUGUAUCAUCAGCAUAUUGAACUAUGAGGUAAUCGCCUUCAAAAGAGUCACCUAAAGGAUGCUUAAGAAUGCUCUGUUGGGCUGUAUUAUUGAUAACUGACUGCAAAAGGUCAGCUACCAAGACAAAUAGAAGAGGUGACAGGGGAUCUCCCUCUCUUGCACUUAAAAGGUUUCUGUAACACCAUUGAGCAGUACUGAAGUGCUAGAGCUAAGAAUCAUCUGAAUCCACUAAAUUCAUCUUUCAGAGAAGCCCUUGUGUUUGAACAUAUCCAAGGUAACAAGAUGCUCAGUCUUGUCAAAUGCCUUCUCAAAAUCCAAUUUAAGAAUUAUUAUCUCCCUUUUGCUUUGGUGACAGAUAUGUAAAAACUGAAAGGCCCAAGCAAGGCAAUCCUGAAUAGUUCAGUCAUUCAGAAAUCCAUAUCAGUUAGCAUGAACAAUGGACAGAAUAACCCUCUGUAGCUUGUUAGCCAAAAUCUUUGUGAUUAGUUUUAGGGAAUAAUUGAGGAGGAAGAUAGGCCUGUAAUCAUUCACAGUUUGGGGACAAUCUAUCUUUGGUAUUAACGUGAUGAAAGAAUUGUUGAUGCAUUCCAGGUCAAUAGAGGAUGAGAUUAUUGUCACUGACUGGAGUGACUUCCAGAUUUGUUGGCAAAUCUCGACGUAAUAACCAGGCCACCUACAGAGAGACUCAUAGCAGUUCAACACAAGAGAUCAUGGACAAUCAAAUUAGAGAUUAAUUAUAUUAUGUGCACACACCAAGUUGUGUCAACAUCAAACAACAAGAUAUUAUGUAGAAAUUGUUCCAUCGUAGACCAGUUGUAACUAUUCUAGAAGCAGGUACUUGCAUUGCAUAAACUGAUCAAGUGGACGCUGCCACUGUCAUUCUGCGAGGCAUCUUUUCUCCGUUUACCUUUCUAAUUUUAUUUCAGUUACUUGAGGAGCCCCACUAUUGCAUCCACACCCUCACCGCUUAUCCAUCGUGUGGUUCAUGUGGUAAAUAUUGUAUUCUUGCAUGUUGUUACUUCUCUGUACCUUCGCACAAUACUUUAUAUUAUGUUCCUGACUACUGAUAAAUCAUCUUACAUUAUCGAUACUCCAUUUUCUGCCGAGCUCUAUGAUGAGAAUAAGAUGAAAAUUUCAUGGAUGAAGAUGUUGUUGUGGUGGCAUGUUUUACUUUAAUUUGAUCUACCGAGCUCUGUGUUUCCAAGUUACAAGGUAAAUACAGAAGCAGCUUUGUGUUUUGUACAAAUUUCUUGACUUUGGUUAAUUAGCAAAGCAUCAUAUGUCGACUGCUUAGAAUCUGAACUUUGACAUUGAGUACCAAAUGCUUCUUGCAUGCUCUUGUGGCCUGCUGCCUGAAAGACAAGACUUGUCAGUUUUGUGCAUCUUUUGAAAGUAGCUAGGCUGCUGCAAAUUCUACUCAAUGUUCUGCUAUAUACACCUCCAUCCAUAAAUAUAUGAUGUUUAAGAUAAGCUAGUUAGAUGAACUAACUCAUCAUAAACGUCAUAUAUUUAUGGACGGAGGUAGUAUUCCUUUAAGGCAAGCAAAUGGUAGUUGAAUCGAUUGGGUCUGAAGGAUAGCGAAAUAUGUUUUGAUCGAGAACUACCUCGGCAGAAUUAUAAAGUGUAAUUUGCACUUUCACUCCAAAUUUAGGAACUCAAAACUAUGGUUGAGCUGAUCUUUAGGGGGAAUUUUUAGUAAUAAGGUCUGAAACGAUGUUCUUGUCUCGAUCAAACAAAGAAAAAGAAAACAAAUAGCAAUUCUUUAGUCCUUACUGGAGAGACCUGAAUCCCGUCAUCAAGAACAGAACAGACCUGAUUUAUGAUCCUACGCCACCUGCGCUACAAUGGCCCAUCUAAUUUACAGGCAACCGGACGGAGGCCUCCAUCCGGUCAAUCCCAAUACGCGAGCUCAUGUAGAUACAGAUUUUCCCGUGGUCCCCUCCCCCAUCCACCCAGCAACCACCAAUCCCCCCAGCCAACUGCACCCGACCAGCACAAAAAAAAUUAAAAAAAACUUUGUUAACAUAUUUGGAAUAAAAAUAUUUUGGAAGAAAUUUUUUACUAAAUAAAACAUAAAAAUUUGAAACAGAAAGUUUUCGACCAAAAUUUUUAAAAAAAUGUACACAAAAUUGGAAACGAUCCAGAAACAAAAGUUUUUGAAACAAAAAUCGAGAAAGAAAAAAUCAAAACAAAAAAUACUUGAAACACAAAAGUUUGGAGCAAAGAACUUGGAACAAACUUUAGAAAAAAUUAUACAUAAAAAUUUUGAACAAAAUCAGGAACAAAAAUUUUUGUGGAAAAAAUAGUUUGCCGCGUCGCUGAGCGCAGCCCGCCUCUAAGCUCCUAGUCGCGCCGGCCGACGGAGUUCGUCGCGUCAUUCCGCCUAUCCGGCUGGCGUAGCUCGCCGAACCCCGCCGCGCCUGGCGCCUGGCCACGCCGCUGCACUCUCCGCCGUGCUUGCCGCCGGGCCUUGCCGCGCCAACUCGCCGAUCCGGCCGGACCACGCCACCUCGCUCCCUACGAGCUAUCCGCCACCGUCGACUCGCAGAUCUGGCUGAGCCUCGCCGCUUUGCUCACCGCGAGCUACAAGCUAGGCUCCGCUUGCACCUCGCCGCUUGCCCAUGGGAGGCCACGCGCGGGAGCUCCCCACUGCUCGCCGGAGACCGCGAGCCCCAUCCCCACGCCCGCACAUGCUGCUCGCCUCGCCCGCCGUCGCGCCUGCUCGCUCCGUCCUACCGCUCAGGGGCUCGCUGAGGCCACUGGGGAUGUCGCCCCCUCCGCUGGAUCCGAGGUAGAAAGAGAGCGGGUGCGUGGACCCGCGUGAAGCCACCACUGCCUCUCGAGUUCGUGAGUGCCUGCGCCGGAGGACGCUGCUCCUGGAGCCAACCAUUAACGCCGCACCUUGCCGGGAUCUGAAGGAGACCUGAGGAAGAAAAGGAAAACGGAGAAAGAGAGCGAGAAGGAACUGGAAAGAGAUAAAACGACAGGGAUGGAUUUCGGUAGUGAGGAUAACACACAUUUAGGCCCCUUUGGCAAGGUUUCUUGAGCGGCUUCUCCAUCAGCUUCUCAUGAAGCCCUGCCAAACAGGUGCUCACAAAACGGCUUCGCAGGAGAAGCCCUGCGAUUCCUGAGAGGAGCCAUUAGAGGGAGGAGAAGCUCAAAAUACUAGCUCCCCACGGCUUCAUCUCCACCGUGGGGGGCCAAAGUCCCAGCUUGCCCCUGCUGCCAUCGCCAAAGUCCCCAUCUUGUGCGAGGAGACCGGAGGACGCCGUCGAUGCAGGCGCGGGGAGGCCGGACGGCGGCACGGACGUGGGGUUGGAGCGGCGAGGGCACGGUGGGCCAGAAGGUGGUGAUGGCGCAGCUGCGGGAGACCAGAUGGCAGCGGCGGCGUGGACGCGGGGGGCUGGAAGGUGGCGACGGUGCCGAUGCUAGGGUCGGAGGAUGGCGGUAGGGCGGGAGCGUGGGGUCGAGGAUGGCGGCGGCUGGUAGGAGGCGGAGGAUAGCGUCGGGGCUAGCAGGCAGGAAGGUGAUGGGUGAAUGGAUAAGAAAGAGAGAGGAAGGGAGGAUAGGGGAAAGAAUAGGAAGAGAAGAGAAAAGGAGAAAUAAAAAAAGAAAAGAAGAGGGAAGGGGAAAUAAAGAGUUGAGAAAAAAAGAGGAGAAUAUAGAAAAAUGAAAAAGAAAAAUAAGAAGGAUAAGGGCGUUACAGACAUUUCAUCUUUUUUAUCUAUGUUACACAGCUAGAAGAAAUUGUUUUACUGAAUAUUUUUCUAACCACACAAGCCCGAGAAAAAAAAUUGCUUCAUCGAAAAAGUUACAUCCACCGUUGUUUUAGCUACAGCCGCGUCCCUCCCACGAGCCCUCGUUAUGGUGGGAUCGUCGAGUGAGAGGCACAGGCACUGUGGAAUCGACCGUACGGUCGUAUGCUCCCAGUCGAGGUGUAAAAUUAGCAUUGGGGCGCUACAACUCGAUGCUAAGCCAAAACCAAAAUCAUCGAUCAUUGCAACAAACAAAAAGGAAACAGAUAAACCAAAAGCGGGUACAAGGACAGAGGACUUUUGUGAGAUUAAAAGAGACAGAGACGACUAUCCACGCCUUUACAGAACUAGAUAGACCCAUCCUUGCCAUGCCCUUGAACAUACUCGCCGGUUACAGUAACUGCAUCUAAAGGGAAAACUUCAAAGCGGCUAGGUGAGAGCGGAUGAUUAGCCAUAGCGUCAUCCCCGGCGCUUGAACACCAAGCAAAGCAAGCAGUCGCAUCCAUGUGGUCGCGGUGUGUCCUGGAUAGGGGGAGGCGGCGGCGGCGGCGACAGUGGUCGCUGCGUCGGGCCGGACAAAACAGAUGACAUUAUGAUGAACGCGGCGGCAGCCGACAUCGUCGCGAGGCGCGGAGCGGCGUGCAGCUCAACGAGGAUGGCCGGACGAGCGGGCGGCGGCAUGGUCGAGCCGAGCCAAGGGUGCGAUAGUAGAGCGCGGCGAGGACGAGGCGACGAGCGCGUAUGAACAACAUUCGACGGCUUAAUUUAUUGCGGGCUCGAUCUCCAGAUGAUACUAGUAGAGUUAGGGUUUAUUUAGUUUGACUUCUAAAGUGUUGUGGCUGCCGCAAAAAGUAGAAAGCUAACAAAAGCGUGCGCUCCUAGCGCGGUACUUCAACAAAAAGCAGCUUCGUGCGACGUUGUAUUCCCACAACACCUCUUACCCGGCUUUCAACGACUGCGAAGGAUUGGUUUUACACUAAAUUACCCACCUGCCACUCUUUACAACGGUUCAAUAUUUUCCAUCGCUCUUCUCUCUUUCUCUGGUAAAGAACCAUCGGUCUCCUCUAUCCUAGCGCACGGGUCGGCAGCGGCGCUUCCUACUUCAUCAUCGACGACGGCGGCCACUCCUUCCCGGCAAGAGCGCAUCCCUCCCUCUCUUCCUCCCUUAGGACCGCCUGCCCUUUCUUUGUCAUAGCAGGCCGCCACCGCCCUGUCCGUCGCAGAUGAGAGUCCAGAUGGGGACAAUGAGGAUACGACGAAUACUAUUCAUAGUAGAAUAGCUGAUGCUUUGGUUAGGACGAGUGGGAGAUAAUUAUGUGGACCAUAUGUUAAUGGUGGACAUUUAUAUGAACCAUAUAUCUUUUGUAAAAUGUUAUCUUUGCAUUCAUGUGGACAAUAUGGUAAUGGUGGCUGCAAAAUUUAAAAAAAAUAAAUUUCGCUUUCUAAAAUGGUAAUUUACGUGUGAUUAAGUGAACAACACAGUGUUUUACGAUCAAUUUGCAUAUUAACAGUCCCUCAUACCUUCCAAGGGUAUUACAGACCUUUCUUGCCAAACCUACAGCCUCACAGCUGUUUCAAUCAAACAGCUUUCGGCUUUCUCACAUCUGACAGCCCACAGCAGUUUUUCCACAACUCACAGCCCACAACAACUUUUUCACAGCUCACAGUCCAACCAAACGAACCCUUAGAACACCGUAACCGACGUGUAGAUGGAAUCGUAUCAGGAUCGACGUGUAGAUACAGAGAGAUGUACUCGAUCGGCGCUCUCGGUGUCAUCGCCCUCGUCGUAAGAGCAGCAACAUCAGCAAUGGCGUGGCGGAGGAGAUGGUCAGCACCAGCUUCCCCUGUUCGACAGCAUCGGGUGCAGAAGCCCCGGCGCCGGCGAUGGAAGAUUCUUCCCCUACGACCUAGGGUGUGUAACUGUGUACUGUGUAGUGCUCUCGGCCGACGAGCGCGGCGACGAGAGCGCGGCGACGAGAGCACGGACUGAUAACAACGGUGGUGUUCAAGGAACAGACGCACGCCACGGACUGCAAGUCGGAACGAUAACAACGAUGCAGCCAUCCACGAGCCGCGCCCGCCACUCGUCCCCGAACGGCCGCCCCCGGCUGCGGCGGCCGGUCAAACGACGCCGCCGUGGGGCAAAUCCGUCCAACAACCACCCCGCAGUCCUCCCUCCGUACCGCCACGCGUCCGCCUAGCGUCUCCGCGCGUGUGGCGGGCCCCCCCACUUCCUCUGCCGGGUCCCCCCUCUCUGAUCUCUCCGCACUCUGCACCUCGCCGCGUCGCCGUGCCGGUGCCGGCCGGCUGCCAUGAGGAAGCCGACGAGGCGCUCGAGCUUGGUCAAAGGGAGCGGGUGGCAGGACGCCCGCCGCGCUGCUGGCGAAGCAGGGGCAGCAGGUGCUGGGCCACGGCGGCGGCGUCGACGCGUUCGACCGGCUCCCCGACGACCUCGUGCUCGCCGGGGACGCGCCGCGCGCCGCGAGCCCCGCCGACCUCGCCGCGGCCGCGCUGACGUGAGCACCAUGUCUCGGCCCGCGUUCGUGCGAUCGAUGUUCUGAUGUCCCGUCGUUAAUUUGUGCUGAAUUUUCUCGUGUGCUCGCGCGCAUGCAGGUGCAGGAGGUUCCGGGAGCUCGCGGAGCACCCCGCGCUGAUGUCGCGGGCGUCGGCGGCGGCCAUGUCCCUGCGCGUGGGGAGGUGGUCCGAGGCGGCGCACCGGUUCCUGCGGUGGUGCGCCGUGCGCGGCAGCCGGCAACAUACACGCCUGCUACUUCCUCGGCUAACCUCACGGCGACCUGCUCUGUACUGAUGCUAUGCUUCUUGGACCGCGCCGGCCUCUGUUUCUUGACGCCGCCAGCUCUCAUACGAUCACCAGGUGACGUUCUACUGCCUCGGGAACAGGCGAAGGGGCUGCGCUGCUGGCGCGCGCGGCGUCCGGCGGGCACGCGGCGGCGCUGUACGCGCUCGCCGUCCUGCAGUUCAACGGCAGCGGCGGCGGCAACGCCGUGCGCGCGCGCCGCGUGGCUCGGCCACGUCCCGGCGCUCCGCGAGCUCGGACACUGCCUCCAUGACGCCUACGGCGCGCACCGCGACGCCGCAGCUGGGCGCCACCUCCUGCUCCUCUUCGGCGCGCUGCCGUCGCGGCGGCGGCGACGACGCGGCCAGCCGGUUCAUGGUGGAGUGGUGGGCGCUGGCCACCGCCAAGAAGUGCGCGGCAGCGGCGAAAGAAGGCGGCGACGACGCGGAGGAGCUGCGCCUGUGCUCGCAGGCGCGAUGUGGGCGGCGGGAAACGCGGCGGCACGAGUUCCGGCGGUGCUCGGCGUGCGGGUCCGCCAGCUACUGCUCGCGCGCGUGCCCGGCGCUGGACUGGAAGCGCGCGCACCGCGGCCAGUGCGGGGCUGCCGCGGCCCGCUAGCUCGCCGCCGGGCCGGGAACACGGACUGAACGCACGCUGGCCGCCGCUCGAUGACGACGCGUGCGUCGCACAUGUACAUAUUUGUGCAUACAGUUAGGUACGGUAGCAAUAGUCUAGGGAUUAAGUUACUAGAAAGACUUUAUUCCUUGAUCACCACUCUAGAAAUUGCUGAAUAUUUGUUUAUUUUUGUUUGAUUUUGAAUUUAGGAUGAUAAUGAUUAGUGAGUUUGUUUAAUUUGGAUGUUAAUGGUGGUAGCCCAACAUAGGUCUGCUAAUGGGGGGUGUACCGACCCCUACCCGCAGCAACUAAGGUUAAUCACCCGCCCCACCCUCACCCAAAAAAUAAAUUAAUCACCCUGCCCACCCCGUUCCAUCAAAAUAGGUUAAACCGCACAGAAGCCGCAUGCCACAGGAGCCGCUGCAGCUGAUGACAAGUCUAUAUCUAAAUAGAGGAGCCGCAUGCCACAGGAGCUGCAUGCCAUAAAAGCCGCUGCAGCAUGGGUAUGGUAGCAGAUGGUGAUGCCGUGAUGGUAGCUAGGAUGACACAGCACCAGCUUCGGCACGGCCAUCACCUCGCCGUCGUCCUUCCGCGGUUGAAGAGGAGCUCUGCCUCGGCGGUGGCGCAACCACCGGAGACGGCCUUGGCUGGAAGCAGUGCGGGUACCUGUGCUACGCCCGUGGGUACAGCAAGAAGGCAGCUGGCGCCAAUGCUUGCCGGCGAACUAGCUCGAGAGAAUCCUUCUUAGUCCAACGGCUCCUUCGCUCCGGCACCGGAGAUCUCGCUGGUCAACACUCAUGAGACGAUGGCAAUGACUUGAGAAACUAUUGCGGUUUGACGUUGAAUCACGAGCAUUGCAUUGCAAUCAGGUGUCGUUGGGCCAUGGAUUCUCCAAAUUUGGGGAUGGAAGACAGAGAUUGAAGAAACGCACUGAUGCAGCUGUUCCCCGUGACACUUGGGAUUCUUCUUUUGCACGUCCUACUAUUAUUCCUUUACAUUUAAGUUUGUAGAUCAUUUUUUUUUCCAUUUUGCACUCGAGAGCUCCUAAAAUGAUCUUCCGAAUGUUUAUGCACCGACCAGUUCCGUUAAACAAUUGUUUUUAUAAAUAAGUGCAUUUAACAGUAUUUUGAAGGGAAACAAGUGGCAAUCAAAUAACAUAUCAGAAUACAGAUCAUACUCCAUUUCCAACAGGCAGAGCAACACGCCAUGAUCCACUAAACAUCCAGCUAUUUCUCCACUCCCCAAGUCCACAUGUUCUACAAGACUACAAGUUCAGAAGUCACAAAUAGCCAUAUGUACACCCCACACCCACAAUGUUUUAGACUACAUAAAAGGGCACGACAUGCUCAGAUAAGCAAAAGUCACCACCGGUUCGGCAAAACUAAGCUAGCCGAGAUGUUAAAGGUUACGCUACAGGCCUGCCUGAUCGGCAUGCGCUCUUCUGUAUGAGCUUCAUUCAGGGUCACUUUUCCUUGUCCAACCUCUAGCAGCACCAUUGGUUGUAGGACUUCCGCUUGAUCCUCCAGAUGUGCCCUUCAUUUUCGGCAAGCAAAUGAGACUAUUGGAGUUCAAAGUAACAAUCAAACGGCUCAAACGGUACUGACCUGACGAGAUGUGGUGCAGUUUGUAGCACCAGUGCCAGUGGAGGUACUGAAAUAUUUAGAUGUGUUUGGAUAAUCUGCAAUUUUGCAUCAAAAAUUAUGAAUGAGGAUACAUUAGCCAAGUCAACUACAGCAAGCAUAUGAAUUCAGUUUACCAAUAAAAUGCGCAUAUAUGCCAAGAAGCCAAUGAACUCAUUAAUUCAACAAUUUGAACAUGCAGGUCUGUUGUACAAUUUUUACCCCAUUUAUCUUAGCAAUAAAUUGCAGAUAUGCGCUGCAAAGCAUAUUUAAAAGUAGCAAAUCUUGACAUUUUUAAAGUAAGAGGCAAACUGUGAGGGCCAAAGCAGAGUAACCUUUUCUCAAAUAGCUCGUCAGCACAAUUUGCUUAUCCAACUUUUCCUCUAGAACCUUCUUGGUUCCAGUUUCCUGCUCCAAUACCCUAUCACCAGGAUCUGCUUCUUGAUGUCUCUGAGAUGGAUACCAUUAACAUAGAUUAAAAAUUUCUCCACUUAACCUUAGUAAAAAAAGGAUGAAUAAAAAAAGAAUCUCAUCUCAGUAUUAUAUCAUAUAUAAACAGGCAGCAGAUCAAAUUCUAUCAGAAACUUGCAGAGUGGAAAAAGAGUUAAGCACAGCCUUCUCCCAAGAAGUUGUGCAGUGGUGGCGUAAUAAUAUAAGCAGUGGAUCCUUUCGGCAGACAGGCUUGGUGACUUCAUAUCUAAUUCAGAUGUAAUCUAAUUUGGACAAACCCUGCAUCAGUAUAGGUCUCAGAUGCCACACAAAAUAUAUAGUAAAGCAGCAAGAUAAAUGCAUGGUAAAUGGUAAAUGACAGCAGUAAGCACUGUGGACCGACAAACUAGCAGCUGUCAAUAGUUUGCAUUAGCUUAAUUACAGCUCUAGAAUUGCAAAGUUCCAAGCAACUGAUCCUCUACGGGACUGAAAGUUACUGACAAGCUAUUUACCCAUAUUCUAGACAACAUAAAUAUCUCACUAGCUAUGGAAGGAAUGGAGAAAAAAGAAAUAAAGUAUAAAAGAAGUUAAAUCUUACCAUAUGCCUCGAUCAUGAUUUCAUCAAAUCCUACAGCUUGAAUCUGGCAAACUCAGAUUGAAGCCACGAGUCUCCCAAUCUGAAUCACAUUGUGGAAACUGAAAUAUAGUAAACUAGAUCCAACUUUACCUUGGUGCUUCUGUAUGUUUCUAAUACUGAAUUCAUGAACCUGGGAAAAGUCUACAUGUAUUCUCUGUGAUUUAGAUUUUAUCAUUAUUGUAUCUAAAACUACAAAGAUAGAAGAAGGGCAUAUGGAACAGAACUUUGAAAACGAAUUUCAGAAGCAUUUCUUGAUAUGGCUCCCACAAACGGCAUAAUUGGCUCCUAGUCACUUACUAACAAAGUUCAGAGAAUACAAUUUUGGAACUCCUGCAAGAUACCAUUUGAACAUCUACAUUAGUUCCAAGAGUUCGAGAACCAGAACUCCAUGUUUAUUUCUUCCAUUCAUCUAUAUCGUUCAGUCUCCAACCGUACAGAAUCAGAAAGAAACAGAAGUGUGGCGCAAUGGACUAGUUUCUUCCUCUGCAGCCAUCAACACUCUUUCUCAGCGCUUCAUCGAGUGCUCUCACUGCCCUUGUUGUCAGUUUUGCGAGUGCAUGCUGGAGAGUAGUCCGAGUCUGCACUUCCACUAGGGUUUCACAGUGGGAAGUAAUUCAGAAAUGUGACUAAUGAUGUCUUUCAGGACAGGCAGGUGGAUAUAUUUCUAAUGCUGUGUUAGAUUACCUGUAGUUUGGAGAAGUUGGGCUGUAAUCUGGACUGGGUCCUCCAGAGUUGUCAAUUGGGCUGCACAAGUCAGGUAAUGCCUUAGAAAACCCACAAACCUCCAAGCGAGGAACAUACGACUGAAAUGGAGCACACAUGAUGGAAACUAAAUGGGGCUCACCUGGUUGGGCUGUAUGAUGGACUUGGUAGUGAAUACGUUGGUGAAGUCGGUGAGUAUGUCGGUGAAGUUGCGCUAAAAUUGAAAACAGUAAUAUAAGCAAUCCAUACAUACAUAUAUGAACACAGAUCAACAAAGGAAGCAUGGAUAUUAUCAGGUACCUGUAGUCUGGAGAAAUCUGGCUGUCUGGAGUCAUCCUUGGGCUGCUUGGAGAGUAAGUGCUUGGAGAAUACUUGGCAGACGAAGGAUUGUAGCUUGGUGAAGUUGGGCUGUAGUUUGGCGAUGUUGGACUGUAACUUGGUGAGGUCGGGCUGUACCCAGGCGAUGUAGGGCUGUAUGUAGGUGAUGCUGGGCUGUACGAGGGCAAUGAAGGACUGUAUGAUAGAGACGUAGGGCUAUAAAAUGGUGAUGUUGGGCUGUAUGAUGGUGAUGCUGGACUGUGUGAGGGUGAUGAAGGACUGUAUGAUGGAGACGUAGGGCUAUAGAAUGGUGAUGUUGGGCUGUAUGAUGGUGAUGCUGGGCUAUAUGAAGGCGCUGUGGGGCUGUAUGCAGGAGAUGUAGGGCUAUAUGUUGCCGUGGUUGGACUAUAAACUGGUGAAGUGGGACUGUAAUUUGGAGAAGCAGGAUUAUAGCUUGAUGUAGGACUAUAGCUAGGAGAUAAAGGAUCAUAGAUUGGAGAUGUGGGCGAGUAUGAAGGAAUUUGUGAGUAAACCGGGCUCGUUGGGGUGUAAACUGGAGUUGUGGGUGAGUAAAUUGGGCUUACUGGACUAUAUGAUGUUGAAGUAGGAGCAUUAAGUUGUGAUGCAGGAGUGUAUGCUUGAGAAAUAGGAAUAUAAAUUGGUGAUACAGGACUGUACGAUGGAGAAAUGGGGUUGUAACUGUUUCCAGAGCUAGAACUUGGAGAUCGACUGUAUCCCCCUGAGUAUUGAGAGUAACCUUGUGAAGGGACAGGUGAUAACGCCAUAUCCCUGACAUAUGGCGAGAAAGAAGCAUUUGUAUCAAUGGGGGAAGCCCUGAAGUCUGGACUCAUCAGAUAACUUGGCGACAUCAUUCCUUCAUGAUAUGGUGUUCCAGAGAGGGGUGAAGGUGCUGGUGUUAUGCCAAAGUCCAGACCUUCCACAUAGCUUGGGAGUUGAAGUUCAAUAACCUUUUCCAGCAUCUGGUCAUUCAGAAAUAGUGUGCAGCCUCCAGUACCAAUAGGAGCAAGCUGGCCAAGCAUAAUGUUCUCUGUGACACCUCUCAGGUGGUCAGAUUCAGCAUAAACAGCGGCAUCAAGCAAGAUAUCCACAGUCUCUUCAAAAGAACAUCUCAUAAGAGGUCCUGUGUCAUUGCGAUUAAUACCAUGCCUUGUAAUAGCCAUCAGGUGACCUCUGUAUGUCAUUGUAUCGCAAAGAAUUGCCAGAUGCCUAUAGUUUACAUAUGAUCCAUCAAAAGAUAUGACCACCCGAAGUUCAUCCAGGAGGACCCGACGGACAGCCUCAAUUCCAAGAACCUCAAUCACUUCAAUCAAGUGGUUACUUGUUGUUCUUGUAGCAUCAACAUCCCCAUGGCCCAUGACAGCCAAGAGAUUGACACCAUCUGUAUCAAGCAUCCACUCUUCAACUGAUUUGAAACCACCAUUUUCAUCAAAUUUAUUAAUCUUAACGUUCUUUAUGAACACCUCGCUAAUAUUCGGAAUGCCUCCAAGAGCCAUCUCUGUCAGCAUGUUACUCUCUAUCUUCUUGAGGAAGACAUCAUCCUCGGCAGACUCAUCUCGCAUAUCUCCAUUUGAAGCCUCAUCAUUUGUGAUGCGCAGACGAAGGAUAAGCUUAUCUGCGUUAUCAUCACUAAAUAUGCAUGAUAAGUCAUCCUCAAACUCACGAUUGAUCUUCUCAGCGAUAUCAGCCAUGCUCAACUUCUUAUCAACCAUCAUCUCACGAUCAAGCUCAAUACGCAGCAGCCAAGGAGAAAUCUUAUCCAGGUCAAUAUCCUCAUCAGGCAUUUCAUAAUACGAUCGGACAAAUUCCACAUCCUCUUCAAUGAUUGUCUCCGUAGGAUCAGGAUCAUACCAAACCUCAGUAGCAUGGGUCACACUGCGCAAUGUGGUGUACUCCAAAGCACAUUGGACAUCCUUAGCCAAUUCUUUAUUCUUGUUCACCUCAGGCUUUAGGUAAACAGACAAUGAUGGAGUUUUUAUCUUCUUGGCAACAUUAAUGAUCUCUCUCAGCCUGGGAACUCCAAGAGUAACAUUCUUGGCACUGACACCAGCAUAAUGGAAGGUAUUCAGGGUCAUUUGAGUCGCUGGUUCCCCAAUGGACUGAGCGGCCACACAUCCUAUCAUUUCACCUGGGGCCACCAAAGACUGUGAAAACCUGGACACAAUCUCAUCAACAAUCCAUUCAAAUGCUUCCCUUGUAAGCCUGUAUUCACUCAAGACCCUCUUACUAGCAAAUGUGGCGCGAAGAUGGAUAUUGAAGAACAAAGUUGCAUUCUUCUGUGCCUCAAUACUCAGAGCAUCAUCACCAUGCACAACUUUAAGUCUUUCUUGCAGCUUAUCUAUUGCUUCCACAAUUUCCAUCGGGUGCAUGUCCGAACAUGUUCUGGUGUCAAUCUUGAAUGUCUUCUGGGCAUUCCAGAUAAGCCGCUUGAGGUUGACAGGCAUAGGCCACGUAUUAGCACCGUUUGUAGCAAUCUCAGUCCCAAGCUGGAACCGGUCAGCUUCUAGCUUCUGAACCUCUGCCUCUAACACACUUCUGAAUUCAAUGAUGGUCUUCAAAUCAUCAACAUGGACAGGCAGCAGGUAGUCAGGCCUCCAGUUCUCAUCAUCCAGCUUAUAGCGGAAUAGAUUAUCAAACUCAUCCUUUUUCAACUGCAAAGAGUCCAACUUCUGUUCUUCAAUCCAAACAGCAUCCAUGCCAUCUUCCCCAUAUAGGAACUGAAUGACAUCUCCCAAGGAAUUUCUAACGGUACCAUCAUAUUUUACCAUGAUGUCCUCCAUAGCUUUCACAAGCCUGCGUUGGAUAUACCCAGUCUCAGAAGUCUUCACAGCCGUAUCAAUCAGACCUUCUCUACCACCUAUAGCGUGAAAGAAAAAUUCUUGCGGUGUUAGACCCCGAAGGUAAGAGUUCUCCACAAAUCCACGACUUUCAGGACCAUAGUCAUCUUUCGUGAAAUGUGGCAAUGUUCGGCCACUGAAACCAAAUGGGAUCCGCUUUCCUUCAACAUUCUGCUGUCCAACACAAGCAGCCAUUUGCGAAAUGUUAAUGAAACUGCCUUUUGAGCCUGCAGUGACCAUAGCCUUCAAAUUGUUGCUCUCAGACAAGCUAUUCUGAGCACUGCUUCCGGCAUCAUCACGAGCCUUAUUGAGAACCUGGAAUGGAAAGAGAAUGGUUUGAAGUCAAACAACUCAACUGAGAGGUAGAUAAUGCUCUUGGUUAAUUGGAAGACCUAUAAAAUAAAAGCAAUCUAUAAUCAAGGAGGCAAACAACUACCUUAUUUACUUGAUUUUCAAAAGAUUCCAUCAUUGUGCGUCCUGGCUCAGCUUCCAACUGCUUGUCAUGUGGUUUUUUAAUAAGAUCCUUCACAGCAUUCUUAGCAUCAGAAAUUGUCUUAUUAAUCUUCUCCAUGGUGGCUGCAUCUGCAAUCGCAUCCCCUAUUCCAAUACUGAAACCAAUUUGAAGAAGCCAGUAGUUGACAAGCCACUGUGUAUGACCUAAGAACCUGCGUGCAGCAUCUGGACCAACCUCUUCCCUGCAAAGAAAUUAAAAUGGAAAUUGCAUAGUAGAAACAAAGGAGGAAAAUUACUAAACCAUGCAACUUAUGAAUCAAAUAUUUAAUUGAAGCAUAAUUACCAAAUAACAUGAAUAAGACUUCCAGCGCCUGUUCCCAGAGUCUUUUUGCAAAGUGUACCAGAUAGAAGCUCUCCCUUCUCUAUCCUGACCACAGUAUCACCAGGAGUAAUAAAUCUUGUUUCAUUUUCAGAAUGCCAGGAAGAAAACCGUAUUAAAUUUAUUUUCUUGGGGAUAAUGAGGUUGAAAACUUGUUUUCCAGUCCAAAUAGGUCUUGGUUUCAGAAUGGCAGGAGCAGGAAUCUUUCCAUCAAAAUCUUCCCACCACAUCAAGAUAUUCAUGAAUACAUCCUGGAAUGAAUUCUUCACAACAUUAAACUAUAAAACUUAACAGGAAAUACUACGGGAGAGGUAAGUAGAGUUUAUCAUUAUUAACCUUAUCAAUGAGAGUGUCCCUUUUGGUGAUUUUGCGACAACCAAGCAGCGUGUCCUGGACAAUACCCAUCACAGGCCUAUUUGAUUGUGGAGACACGAUACAUUUUGGCACCAUCAUCAACUCUAGAACUUCGGCUCUGGUCUCAAACGACUGGGGAACAUGCAUAUUCAUUUCAUCACCGUCAAAAUCAGCAUUGUAUGGUGAAGUAACAGACAAAUUCAACCGAAAAGUUGAGUAGGGCAUAAUUUUGAUACGAUGCCCCAUAAUAGACAUUUUGUGUAGACUUGGUUGCCGAUUGAAAAGAACAAAAUCUCCAUCAUUGAGGUGCCUCUCCACCUGGGUGAUCAGGCACAAAAUGGUAAAGAAAACAUGCAAAAAAACAGCAUCAGUGCUAGUGUGCUACAAUUACAAUGAAGUCAGUACUCACCUUGUAACCAAGCUCCAAAUGCAGAUCGCUGCUUUUCUUCACGUAACGUAGAUCAAGCCUCUGACCAUCUUCCCUGAUAAUGUACUUUGCACCUGUCUUCCCUGGGGGAGGGUGAGGCCCAUAUUCUACAAGUUCUUUUAACCUGAGAUCAUUGGAUUUGGAUGCAAGUAAUCAGCAAAUACAGUAGUUACUUAUGGUGCCUCCUCAAUAACAGUGAACUGGUUUACCUCUCAAUGUUAUAUGGAGUGACAGUUUCUGGAUAUGUCAGGUUCAAAGCAAUACUCCAUGGCACACCUAAUUCAUCAAUGUUAAUAUUUGGAUCUGGUGUGAUAACAGUGCGGGCUGAGAAAUCAACUCGCUUCCCCAUCAAAUUUCCUCUAACCCGGCCUUCUUUUGCUUUCAACCUGCUGCAAAUUGAUUUAAUAGGCCUUCCAGAACGCUGCGUGGCCUGAUCAUUUGGAGGGAAAAAAUAGAAAAUGAUAACUUAGCAAAACCAAAGUAAUAUGACAUGUGAAAUUGCAACAGGCAACAGCUUAGCAUUUGAUUAUAAGUAAUAACAUGCAGAAUAAUUUUUUUAUUACUCACCCUGGGUUGGCCAGGAAGGUCAUUAUCAAAGUAUGUAGAAAUGUGAAAUUGCAACAACUGAGCAAACUCUGUUAUAAUGUGAGCUGGAGCUCCAUUUCUCUCUUGCCUCCUGAAGUUCUCAUUGUGCCGAAUUAUCAUAGCUAAUUGAUGAGUCAAAUCAUCCUGUAAGAAGCAGCUGAAAGGUCAGAAGAAUAAUAGUGAGCAACAAAUGAGCAUUUGCAAUCCAUCAAUGCACUAUAACACUGGACACAAAAUAAUUAGUGGUAUUAAGCUCACCUCACUUCUGGAAGAAGUGCCCAUCAUGACAGAUGGUCUAACAGGCGGCGGAGGAAUUGGAAGAACCUGGAGUAUCAUCCAAUCUGGACGGACAAAUUUGGGAUUCAGACCCAACAGAAGACAGUCCUCAUCACUUAUGCGCUUGAGAACGUCAAGGACCUGGUCCAACAAGGCAUGUAAGAAAAAACACAUGAUUAUAGUAAAUUCCUUAUGACAGCUUGUUGAAUGGACUGGUUAUAGAUACCCUCUCAGCAGAGAGAAUCUGCUUCCGUUCCACUGGCUCAGGGAGUUGCUCUUUAUCAUCAUUUUUCUUCUUUGAUGCCUUGAACUCCACAACCAUCUUUAUACCGUCGACUGUAAUAUUUGGCUGCUGAGCACCACAACCGCCACUUUUCUUUACAGGCUCAUGAGUAUCCUGUUGCUCCUGAAUACACGGGUCAUCACCCCCGCCACAGAACUUUUUGGUCUUGCAAGCAUCAUAUAUUCUCCUCAAUCUAUUCUUUGGGUUCCUGAUUUUGAGAGCCUGCUUGAACUUGUUAUUAUCCUGCAACACGAGCAUUACUGUCAAAUAACAUGUAAAAAAACAUGAUGAGAAUGCAGAGUGGCUAAACAUGUGACAACAGAUAAAUAAGAACUCUGUGAAAAGCUCCAGAGUUAGCUCAUGGUCAGAUUUAAUUAUUCUGAUUGUUUUAUGCAAAACACCAGAUAUUGUGUGGCUAGGGUGGGUAAAUAUCACGAAUGCAAUAAGAAUGGUCUGCUUCUAAGAUUUGCAUGAGUCUUACAUUAGAUCUGUGUUCUUAAGGGGGCCAUAAAUUACAGCUAAAACAAUGUCAGUCUGUGUUCAGCUUGAUACUGUCUUUACAAGUUUUUUUCAUUAGACAUGACUACUGUGGAUAAGAACAAACCUCAAUAGAGCUUGAUGAGGUACUAAUAAAAAGAUAAUUUGAUUCACUAAUGUCAUGUCAGGAUACAGAAGGCAAUUAUGAGUUCAGUGUGAUUCAAAUUAAAAACAAAACUGAUUUCUGUAUAGUCAGGUAACACGCGCACACAACAUCCUGUGUAGUAAGUAGUAACCAAACCAAGGGGUACCUCAUCAGCAAGGAUCUUGGAGCAGUUGAAGCAAACACAGCGCAUAAUGGAAAGAACAGUUUUGAUGAAACCGAUGUGGAACAUCGGCUUGGCCAGCUCAAGGUGACCAAAGUGACCUGGGCACUCUGCCAUCCCAGCCAUGCAUGUCUCGCACUUGAUUUUCCGGUCGAUAGUCCCCAUCCGAGGGUCACUAAGCCCACCGGUCUUCGGCUUCCCCUUCUCCAUAGUCUCUGCAUAUUGUAUUUGCACCACCGACAUUUGCCUCUGCAAAUACACAUAUAUAAAUUCACCAUUAAAUUGUACCCUCUGAAUUUUGUUGUACAUGCAUUGCAAAUGUUUCAACAUUUCUUCUAUUGAAGCAGUACAACGUAGCCUAAUAAGGCAAACUAUUAAAUCUAUCAUCAAUGGCAUGUAAACAUUAUGUAACACAAAUAUUGCGUUCAGCUGUACCAGAGCAGUUAUAACAAACAUAACCAUUGUUCUAUACUUUCCAGUUCAGACUUCCAGUUGCAAUUAAACUUUAAUGAAAAUCAUUAUAGACAAUCGAGUUCAUCAUUAUACCCAUAUAUGGAUAUGCACAAACAGGGGAGGCACAAAACCAAAGUUUAACCUCCCAUGUUAAGUCACAACAGUACAAUUUCUACUGAAUUUUAUGCAGAGUGCAAGGCUAUUGAAUUUUAUGCGGAGUACAAGGGCUGACUUCAAACUCCAGCAUCCACGCUACAAGUGCAGAUCAGUUCAAACCAAACCGUAAAGCUCCACAGUUACAGCAACAGUACAACACAUUUUCUUCAAUUUGCUUAAAUUUAAGGGUACCCGAGUUCGUUUGGUUGCACACGUUCUAGGUUCCCAAAAUUUACCAUAGCACCAACUCAACCAACCAAGCACAGAGUGCAAUUACUAUUCAAUUUUAUACAGAGUACAAGUGCUAACUUCAAACUCCAUCCACACUACAAGUCAAAAUCAGUUCAAACCAUACCAUAAACCUCCACAGUUACAUCAAUUUGUUCAAAUUUUAGGGUACGGGAGUUCCUUGAGUUGCACACGUUCUAGGUUCCCCAAAUUUACCAGAGCACCAACUCAACAACCCAAGCACCCGUCAAGCUGAAUCCACUCAAACCCCCUCACAGAUUACAUCCGUAGUGUCCAAUUAGCCUCCUCCCAUCAAAUCCAAGCUCGUCGCACCAACUCGCCAAGCAACCCCUGAGCUCCCAAGUCCUAAUCCCCCCAAACCACCCAGCCCGCUCGAAUUCGAACAGCAAAUUCAAGCAGCGCGGGAGGGGGCAUUAC